RNAcentral lists this long non-coding RNA (69020 nucleotides) under Setaria viridis. Its description in RNAcentral is "long non-coding RNA (SVIR_LNC006068)". Lineage: Eukaryota; Viridiplantae; Streptophyta; Magnoliopsida; Poales; Poaceae. The record is from RNAcentral.
AGACCACUGGCCCGAACAUGGUUGUUGAUAUGUGUAAGGGAGUGCAGUACCUCAAUGAAAUCAAGGAUUCUGUUGUGGCUGGCUUCCAGUGGGCCUCAAAGGAGGGUGCACUGGCUGAGGAGAACAUGCGUGGCAUCUGCUUUGAGGUCUGUGAUGUUGUUCUUCAUGCUGAUGCAAUUCACAGGGGUGGUGGCCAGGUCAUUCCAACUGCCAGGAGGGUUAUUUAUGCUUCUCAGCUCACUGCCAAGCCAAGGCUGCUCGAGCCAGUUUACCUUGUGGAGAUCCAGGCCCCAGAAAAUGCACUUGGUGGUAUCUAUGGUGUUCUGAACCAGAAGAGAGGGCACGUGUUUGAGGAGAUGCAGAGGCCUGGUACCCCGCUCUACAACAUCAAGGCUUACCUCCCUGUCAUCGAGUCCUUUGGGUUCUCCAGCCAACUGAGGGCUGCAACCUCUGGCCAGGCGUUCCCUCAGUGUGUGUUUGACCACUGGGACAUGAUGGGCUCUGAUCCUCUGGAGGCCGGCUCCCAGGCUGCUCAGCUGGUGUUGGAUAUCCGCAAGAGGAAGGGUCUCAAGGAGCAGAUGACCCCUCUUUCUGAGUUUGAGGACAAGCUCUAAAUUUUGGUGGUUUGUGCUGCUGUUACCCAUGCUGGUUUCAUGGCCAAUUCGUCUACUGUAACUGGAACUACUUUCAUGUUUCAUUUCCUUUAGUUGUCAGAUGCAUCUGUUUUUGAACAUCAUUGGCCAUAUGGCAUUGUGCUGCUAAGACUGUAUUUUGUUAUCCGGUUGUGAUGUAACAGAUGAAAUAGAGUUCAUAUCUGUGGUUUAAGUGGUAGUAUUUGCGGUAUAAUGCUUGUUUCUACUGCCUUCUGAAAGCCUUUCUUUUGCCUAACGGUAGAGCGGAUUAACUAAGGGUGUUGUAUCAUUUGAUUCAUUUGAUCCUUCAUCAAGGAUGAAGCCAUCUCCUCAUGGGAACACAUUAUUCUACUAUUAGAAGCGAAGAUGUAACAAAUUAGUUGAAAGAGGAGCGUUGAAAGAGGAGCGAACCAUACUUUACUAUAUGGUAAGUAGCAAAUUAGUUACAAGUAGCAAAUUAGUUGAACUUUAGGAUCAUGCACGUUGAACCUUGUUAUCUAGGAUCAUCCAUGGAUCAUGCACGUUGAACCUUGCUAACUAGGAUCAUGCACGUUGACCCUUGUUAUCUAGGAUCAUCCAUGGAUCAUACACGUUGAACUUUGCUAUCUAGGAUUAUCCAUGUAUGCAUCAUGUAGUGCAUCUGUGCAUGCAAUAUUCUGUUAUCUAGGAUCAUCCAUGGAUCAUACACGUUGAACUUUGCUAUCUAGGAUUAUCCAUGUAUACAUCAUGUAGUGCAUCUGUGCAUGCAAUAUUCUGCCCUUAGCUUGGUUUUACUGCCGAUAGCUAUAUAGUGCAUUUAAAUGCUUUUCUUUUGCCCACAGCCCCAGAGGUAGAGAGGACUAACUGUUUCUGUUGCUUUUUUUUUUUACGGUCUACGGGAGAGAGUGUGUGUGUGUGUUGGGGGUGGGAGCGCCCCCACCUGAUUUUCAUUUCAUUGAGGGUCUGUUUCAGGCCAAACGCUGUGUAGAUCAAAAGGAGAUAGAGAGAGGCAGUGUACAUCUGGUUUUGUGAUUGUUUUACAUCGAAGCAAAGACAGUGCACCAGGAGUCGGUUAUCACGCGAUCCUCUAUGCGAAACCGCUCGCGCCAAAGUCGGGCUUCGUCUCGGCAUGCCGACCAGAAGCGUUGUUGAGAUGGAGCGCAGCGCUGGAACACUGGGUCAUUCCGGUGCUUCCAUAACACCCACGGCAGAAGGAGUUUUUUCUUGCUUUGCCUUUAGCUUGGCUUUAAUCCUGUUAGCUAUGCCUAUGUAGAGCAUUUGGUCCUUCGAAUUUUAAAUCGAUGUUGAUUUUGAUUGCAUGCCGUCAUUUUGGGUUGGUUCCAACUAUGUUUUUAAUAUCAGUCGUUCUGAAGGUUACUCUGUUGACACUUGAUUGCAUAACCGUUUGCUAGUUUUGCGUGCAUCCGCGUGCUGGUUCGUCUCAUCAAGAACUAGCCGUUGCUCAAAACUCUGGCUUUCAGGCAUGGCCGCAACAGCCUGGAGGAUGUGUUGCUGUUCUGUAGCUGUAGUGUGCGUCUGUGCUAGUGGAUGCAGGGAGCCAGCGACCUAAAAGGAAUCGUGUAUUAGUGGAUGCAGGACAUCGGCCGUGGCGGCCUGGGGGAGACGACCACGCUCGACAUGAACGGCAGUAAGUUCAAUGGCACGAUCCCGGCGUCGCUUACCGGCCUAUGGAGCCUCCAGUAUCUAGAUGUGAGCGGCAACCGCUUCACCGGCACCAUCCCAGCGUUGCUAUCUGGACUCCGGAACCUCCAGCUUCUCGGCCUGAAUGACAACCUCUUCACCGGCACCAUCCCGGCGGACCUCGGCGAGCUGGCGAGCCUUCACAUGCUGUAUCUGGCAAACAACCAGUUCGAUGCAGGCCAGCUGCCGUCGUCGUUCAAGAACCUGACCAACCUGGUCAGCCUCUGGGCGUCGCAGUGCAACCUCGUCGGAGAGUUCCCGAACUUUCUUUGGAGCCUGAAGGAGCUGCAACUAUUGAAUCUGUACACGAACAACCUCACCGGCAACUUGGUGGUUGAUGGCCUUGUUGCGAGGAACUUGACAGUAAUCGACGUCUCGGAGAACAAGAUCACUGGAGUUAUCCCGAGUGUUUGGGAGCUUGGAGAACCUCAGAGACUUGAACUUCUUCAUGAACAACUUCUCCAGCGAGAUACCAGCCAGCAUCGGCCGGUUGCCCUCACUGACGAGGUUGAGGCUCCACACCAACAUGCUUAACGGCACGCUCCCACCGGAGCUCGGAAAGCAAUCGCCGGGCUUGAAUUAUGUUGAGGUUGAUUACAAUGAGCUCACCGCCGAGAUCCCGGAAGGGCUGUGCACUGGAGACAACCUCCAGCACCUCACCGCCAAGAGCAACCAAUUGAACGGCUCCAUCCCAGCAGGCCUUGCCAACUGCGCCACUCUUGGAACCCUGUCGCUGGACAACAACCAACUCUCUGGCGACGUACCAGAGGCUCUGUGGACGGCGACGAAGCUUUACCAGAGGCUCUUCCGGCCACGGUGCAUCUCAACCUUUCGACGAUACUCAUAGGGAACAACCAAUUUGGUGGCAACAUUCCGGCUGCACUAGCUGCGCUCCAGGUGUUCACCGCCGAGAACAACCGGUUUUCUGGUGCGAUACCGGCGAGUCUUGGCGACGGCAUGCCGCUGCUGCAAAGACUGAACUUAUCCGGUAACCAACUGUCCGACGGGAUCCCCAGAAGCGUUGCUAAGCUAAGCCAGCUGACGGAAAUGGACCUGAGCAGGAAUCAGCUCACCGGAGGCAUACCGGUAGAGCUCGGCGCCAUGCCGGUGUUAAGUGUCCUUAACCUGUCGUCGAACAAGCUCUCCGGCAACGUGCCGCAGGCGCUUGCGAAGCCGACACUCACCGCCCUAACCUGUCCUCGAACCAUCAGACCGGCCAGGUCCCGGCCGGGUUCGCCACCGCGGUCUACGACACCAGCUUCCUCAACAACCCCGGCCUCUGCACCGCCGCUUGGGGACCUGGCUACCUCACGGGCGUACGCUCCUGCGCCGGUGGAUCACAAGACGGCGGUUCCUCCGGAGGCGUGUCGCACGCCCUGCGCAGGGGAACCUCGCCGUGGCGUUCGCCUUCUUCGUCGUCCGCGACAUCAAGAAACGGCGGCGCGUCGCGGAGCAAGACAACUGGAAGAUCACGCCUUUCGUCAAAGAUCUGGGAUUCGGUGAGGCACCCAUACUCCGGGGGCUGACGGAGGAGAACCUCGUCGGGCGCGGGGGAUCGGGGCGCGUGUACCGCGUCGCCUACACCAACCGGCUUAACGGCCGAGCCGGCGCGGUGGCCGUAAAGCAAAUACGGACCGCCGGGAAGCUCGACCAGAAGCUGGAACGCGAAUUCGCGUCAGAGGCUGGCAUCAUCGGCAACCUCCGGCACAACAACAUCGUCAAGCUCUUGUGUUGCCGCUCCAGCGCCGAGUCCAAGCUCCUCGUGUACGACUAUGGACAACGGCAUCCUGGACAGGUGGCUCCACGGCGACGCCCUCGUCGCCGGCGGGCGCCCCAUGGCGAGGGCGCGGUCCGCGCGGCGCGAGCCGCUGGACUGGCCGGCGAGGCUCAGGGUGGCCGUCGACGCCGCGCAGGGGCUGUGCUACAUGCACCACGAGUACGAGCCGCCCAUCGUCCACCGCGACGUCAAGACGAGCAACAUCCUGCUGGACUCGGAGUUCCGGGCCAAGAUCGCCGACUUCGGGCUGGCCACAGGAUGCUGCUGCAGGCCGGGGCGCCGGAAACGAUGUCCGCCGUCGCUGGCUCGUUCGGCUACAUGGCUCCUGGUAAGGAUUCGAACUUGCUGCUUUCAGUGAAUUUCUGUCCCAUUUCUACAAAUGCCACGUGUUCUCGUGUUGCCGGACCUUAGAUUGGGCCUUUUGAUGCUUAUCUGCAGAGUGUGCUUACACCAAGAAGGUGAACGAGAAGGUAGACAGCUUCGGUGUCAUUCUCCUGGAGCUCACCACCGGAAAGGAGGCCAACAACGGCGGCGAGCACGGCUGCCUGGCGGACUGGGCACGGCGCCACUACCAAUCAGGAGGGAGCAUCGCCGACGCCACAGACAAGAGCAUCAGAUACGACGGGUACUCUGACGAGAUCCAGGUUGUCUUCAGGCUCGGCGUGCUCUGCACCGCCGAUAUGCCGUCGUCGCGGCCAACCAUGAACGACGUGCUGCAGAUCUUGGUCAAGUGCAGCGAGCAGACGUACCACAAGGGCAAGACGGAGCGUGGCCCAGAGUAUGAGGUGGCUCUUCUACCCAAACGCGGCAGUCGCCGGAAACAGCUUUCAAACGGCUCGGGGAUUUACAUCGAAGAGAAGAUGACAGCAUUGUCUGAAGAAAGGAACUGACCACUGCAUAUGCCAGUAAGCAGCUUGUGACAUCGUCAGUGAACUGCUUGCUAUAGUGAUACUUCACAUUUUAGCAGAGUACAGCGGAGAAUUAUGCCUCUAAUCUUUUUUUUUCUGAGGAGCUAAGUAUCUUUAUAUUAAAAAGAGAAUAUAAAUAGAAAAAAUCAGUCCAUUGGAAGCAACCACUCUAGCUCACCUAGGAGAAUAGAGAGAUUGCAUAAACAAGCGAAGAAAAAACCGUCACCAGACCUUGACCCUGCACGGCUGGACUAGGGACAUGCAUAGUAUAGAGCAGGGCUUGUGGUUAGCCAAACCGUUCUGUGUAUUGAUACUGCAAAUCUGUAUUAAAUCACACACACAUUAUACGUUCCGACAGAAGAACUAGCAAACAUUACGAUUAUACUCCCUCCGUUCUUAAAUAUAUAACGCUAUUGACUUUUUCAUUUGUUUGACUAUUCAUCUUUUCUACAAAUAUUUUUGCAAAUAGAUAAAUCUACGAGUUAAAUCUAAAGUACAUUUCACAAUAGUCAUAAUGAUACACAUUUUACUUUAGUUAACUAACUCAUUCAAUAGAUAUUGAUGGUCAAAGUUGGAGUAAAAAGCCAACAGCAUCAUAUAUUUAAGAAUGGAGGGAGUAAUUUAUUUCUGAAAUAAAGGCAGGAGAUGGAGCUCUGCUUAUCCAUUCAGAAAUUAGUACGAUUGAAUGAUUUUGUCUCCUUCCAGUUUUUAUUGUAAAACACAGAAUAUUACACGGAUAGGCACUGAUUGUUAUCCGGAAGAAAAUGAAUUUUUAUAUUUCAAAAGAAAAGGCCCAAUUUGCACCCUCUAGCUAGCACGAUAAUCCAAUUUUCAGCUAAACUGACCAUGGGCCGGCCCAAAGGCACAGGAAUUUGGCCCGGUCUAGGCAUGGCGGCCGUCGUGCUCGUGCUAACCCGACCCACACCAUGGGCCGUGCUUGGGCCGUUGCCUCAGCCCACGUACUGGUCCGGCACGGCCUGCCCAUUUGGCCCGUCGGGAUUAAGUGGGCGGCCCAUCCUAUUAAGGCCCACUCGACCGCAUAUAAAACCCCCCACCCCCAAACGGCCAAACCCUACCUUCCUCUUCGUGUCCCGCGCCCUUCGCCGCCGUCACCUCCCCCGCGCCCUUCGCCGCCUCUCGCGCCCGCCGGCCGCUCACGCCCUCCGCCGCUUCCCCCCGCCGCCUCCCUCACGCCCUCCGCCGCAUCCUCCCACCGCCUCCCUCGUGCCCUCCGCCACCUCCCGCGCCCGCCGGCCUCUCGCUCCCCUGCCACCUCCCCCGCGGCCCUCUGCCGCCUCCUACACCCGCCGGUCCCUUGCCGCAAUUGGGGAAGAUGGUGGCCUGCACGGCGGCGCGCGCAAACGUCCUGUCGUCCCUCGGCGGUGGGAGCUGCGGCACGAGUGGGCGCCUGGGCAGAUCCGGGAAAGGUCUAUGGGCGCCCUGACGACGAGGUGGUCGAAGUCAUCGGGGCUAUCGAACUCGACGACGACAGGCGCUACGGGCGUAUGAGCAGAGGAAGGGUGAAUUCUGUGCCGCAGGCUGGCACGAGCACGGUGAGGCCGUUAAGGCCUGCCAGGCCAGCGUGCCAGCACGGCCCACCUAAGAAGGCUGCGGGUCAUGCCUGGACCGCUCCUUCGGCACAUGGGCCGGCACGGCCUGGCACUAUUACCGUGCAAGCCUAACCGUGCCGGGCCUAACCGUGCCAGGCCAAAUCGUGCUCGUGCCAGGCCGGGUUGGGCUACCUGUUUGGCCAUCUAUACAUCCAACGGUUGAAACCAGAUAAAUUUUAUCCUUUAGCUGGUUUCAAAGAUGUUUUUUUGUUUUAUUAGACAUUUAAAAAAAAUCUGAUUUAAUCUUGUUGGGGGGAAAUAUUAACGAUCCCCUAAAUACCACUUAAAGGAGCAGACGCGAAGGCCCGGGCCCACCUAAGCAUAAUCAAAACUCCGCCUCGCCCGACCGCGGCCUCAGGGUCAGGAACGCCCGACCCCCCUCCACGAGGUUUCCGCCUCGUCCGACUGCGGCCCCAGGGUCGAAGGCGCCCGAUCCCUCGCCACAAGGUUCCGCCUCGUCCGACCCCAAGCGCAGGGGUCGGGCUCGCUGGGGCCCCCAGGGCAGGCAUCCCCCUCGGAUGUGGACCAGGUGGGCAAGAUAAACAAAUCUUGCGGGUCCCCCCCCCCAUCGGCCUCGUCAUAAAUGCGCUGCGGGCCUGGCAGAGGGAGGAAUGACCACGCUCCUCACACAACCCGCCGCAAGUACCCAUGCACGACCAUACUGUACAAGCUACAGCGCUGGCGGCUCACUCCCAUUCGCCGCAGGGUACUCAUGGCCUGCGCCGACCGGAGCGGAGGAGAGACUCGCCUGUCCUCGAGCCCCGCGCACCCUCGGGUCCCGUGCGCCUGGCAUCUAGGAUGUGACGCCCUCUCUCCAGGAGCCAUCAUCAGAAUGGCAGCAUCCACCGUCCUCCCCAACGGACACCGGGAUAACGACGAAACGCCCUCAUCAUAACCCGACGCCUACGGAUGCCGAAGGAGCUAUCUGUAGGGUGCAACGACAGUUGGCGCACGGCCGCCUCCCCCUCCGGCAUGCACGCCGGCGCUCGCCAGGAGCCGGCGGAGGCGUCGGGCGUCUAGGAACUUGUUCCUCCCAUCCUGCCGUAUUUUUUACCGUACUACGUUCACAUUUUACGGUCCUCUUCGCCCGAUCCCAACUGUAACUCUGGCCACUCCCCUUGCGAUAUAAAAGGAGGAACACAGGGCCGGAGGGGGGGAUCGGCUUCUUCCCCCUCAAGCCACAGCAUGCUAGUACGCUCCCUGAGAACAUAGGCUCAAAGAGACUUGGGACCAGUCCCUCUCUCGUCGGUCUGUAACCCCUACUACAGAACCCCGCGUGGGCAAUACGAGCAUCCACGAUACUGGACGUAGGGCUCCCUUUGCUCGAACCAGUCUAAUCCGUGUCUCCCACGCCACCAUCUGAGGCCUUACGCGCAUAAAAGAAAUUUACUAGUCUAAGUCUUGAUCCGCCAAUCUUGACAACGACAGUUGGCGCGCUAGGUAGGGGACCUUUGCGCAUACCCUCCCAGCCUCAGAUGGCCAAUUACGAUAGUAGCUUUGCUCCGGGCUCCCUGAUCCGAUUCGGGAGCCUGGACUUCCUCGCCACCGGGGAAGGGAUCAAGCUGAUCCCUGUCCUCAUCCUGCCCGCUCGCCCGCCUGCCCCCGGCCCCGCCGCCGGGACAGCGGUGAGCGGCCGCUCGCAUACCGGAAGGACCUCGCCAGGGGGACGGCCCUUCGGGCUACGCAAUGCCACGGGGGCCUACGGACGCCUCCUAGCGCGGUCCAUGACCGCGUCGCCCGCGAGCAACGAGCUCGUAGGUGCGACAAGGACGAUCUCCGACACCGGCUCCAGCAGCGGGAGCCCCCACCCCUCGCGUGAGUGCCUCGUGGUCGACGAGCACUCUGAGGGAUCCAACAGCAACGAUGCCGAGGAGAGACAAAGGGCUGCCCCUCGCGCGCCGCGGCUAUGACCGGAGCCUUACCAAGGGCACCAGAGUGCUCUCAGCAACGAGAGGCGCGCGCGGGCGCCCGCCAAGAAGUCGAGCACCCCCACCACGAGGGAGGAGCGCGACAACGGGCGCGAGACGUCCAGCGACGCAUCUGCGCGGAUGAAGAGCGUCCGCAGCUUUUCGCCCGCGCCAGCCAAAACGUCGCAGCCGCGGCGGUGUUGCUCCGACAGCUCCCCGAACCAGCGAUGCCCGAGGAGCGACGGGCACGCCAAGAGAUGCGCGACCUGCUCGAAUGCGCCGCCGUCCAGCAGGCGGAAAGCUCCGCGUCCCGGCGACGCGGGCAGAAUGCCAGCAGGGCGACGCCCGACGCGCCCCCGGAAAGGCGGGGGGAAUCAGUCCAUCUACCCCCUCCUGGGGCGAAUCAGGCCGCGUCCGCCCGACGGACUCCACCACCCGCGGGAGGCGAGGCUCGAUCCGUCCACCAGCGCGUCGGCCUCGUCCGCGACGCCCGCGACACCCUAAACGCGCGGAGACGCUCCCGCGCGGACAGGGAGGACGGGGUAGAUCGAGGCUACCACGUCCACCGUGGCGGGCGCUACGACAGCGGGGAAGACCGCAGCCUGAGCCCCGGUCCGGCUGGGCCCCGGGCCUUCUGUGCGCGCAUCCUGAACGCGCCUUUUCCGCCGCGCUUCAGGCAACCCAUGAGUAUAGCCAAAUACUCAGGGGAGACGAAUCCUGGAGUGUGGCUCAGCGAUUACCGGCUUGCAUGUCAAGCCGGCGGGGCGGAUGAUGACCUGUUUAUCAUCCGCAACCUACCCCUCUUCCUAGCCGACUCAACGCGAGCUUGGCUAGAACAUAUCCCUUCGGGACGAGUUCGCAACUGGAAUGACCUGAAGGAGGUUUUCAUAGGGAACUUCCAGGGCACGUACACACGCCCCGACAAUUCCUGGGACCUCCGGAGCUGUCGUCAGGGGGCGGACGAGUCCCUCCGAGAUUAUAGCCGGCGCUUCUCCAGGAAGCGCACCGAGCUCUCCAACGUCGCGGACGCCGAUGUCAUAGGAGCUUUCCUAGCAGGAACCUCCUGCCGGCCCCUCGUCCACGAGCUGGGGUGCCGAGGCCCGCGAACCACGGAGGAGCUCCUCAAUAUCGCCACUAGUUACGCCUCGGGCGAAGAGGCCGUUGGAGCAAUCUUCGACCGCUCCAAAGGCAAGGCGAAACGGGAGGAGGUUGCUGGCGAAGGCACCUCCAACCGCCAGCAGAAGAAGAAGGGCAAGUUACGGCGCGAGGCCCCCCUCGUGGCCGCAGCUGAGCGCAAGCGAGGGCCGCCGCCCCCCGAGGGCGCUCCCGGCUUCUUCGACAAGUUGCUUGAGGGACCGUGCCCGAACCACGAGUUCCCCGUGAAGCACGCCUACAAAGACUGCAACCUCAUGAAGAGAUACUUCAUGGGCAAUUCGGUGAAAGGCGACCGGAAGCGGAAGCCCGAUGAGGAAAAGAAGGGCGACGAAGAGAAGGAAGACGGCUUCCCCAAGGUGGACGGCUGCUUCAUGAUCUUCGGGGGCUCUGCGGCAUACGACACCAAGCGCCAGUAGAAGCUGGAGCGCCGGGAGGUCUACGCGGCCGAGCCAGCGACUCCGGCCUUCCUGGACUGGUCAGGGCCGGCCAUCACCUUCGACAGGACCGACCACCCUGGACGCGUCCGGCACCCGGGGCGUUACCCUCUCGUCGUCGACCCCAUCGUCGGCACGACGCGCCUCACCAAGGUGCUCAUGGACGGAGGCAGCAGCCUCAACAUCCUCUACGCCGAGACCCUCGACGCUAUGGGGAUCGACCGUUCCCGCCUCCAUCCCAGCAAGGCGCAUUUCCAUGGCGUCGUGCCAGGGAAGCAGGCGAUGCCUCUCGGGCAAAUCGACCUGCGCGUUACGUUCGGGACCCCUUCCAACUACAGGAAGGAGGUCCUCACAUUCGAGGUGGUGGGGUUCCGCGGAACCUACCACGCCAUCUUGGGACGGCCUUGCUACGCAAAGUUCAUGGCUAUCCCCAACUACACCUACCUCAAGCUCAAGCUGCCGGGGCCCAACGGGGUCAUCACCGUCGGCACGACCUUUCAGAAGGCGUACGAGUGCGACGUAGAGUGCUGCGAGUACGCCGCGGCCAUCACCGUCACGAGCGAUUCGGCAGUCCAGCUUGCGGAGGCCACCGAGGACCGGCCCGACUCCAGGCAGCCGAACAUCUCCUUCGAGCCCGCUGAAGGUAUCAAGGAGGUCCCCCUUGAUCCCGGUUGUUCCAACGGAGGAGUCGUGCGGAUCAGCGCGGCCCUAUCCCCCAAAUAGGAAAGCGCGCUCGUUGACUUCCUCCGCGCGAACAGCGACGUCUUCGCGUGGAAGCCAUCGGACAUGCCAGGCAUUCCGAGGGAAGUCGCCGAGCACUCCUUGAACAUCAGGGCCGGUUCCAAGCCAGUAAAGCAAGGAUUGCGCCGUUUCGACGAGGAAAGGCGCAAGGCCAUCGGCGAAGAGCUCCAGAAGCUUCUGGCGGCCGGGUUCAUCAAGGAAGUGCACCACCCCGAGUGGCUAGCUAAUCCUGUCCUUGUACCAAAAAAGAAUGGGAAAUGGAGGAUGUGUGUCGAUUAUAACGGUCUCAACAAAGCGUGUCCAAAGGACCCGUUUCCUUUGCCACGCAUAGAUCAAAUAGUCGACUCAACUGCCGGGUGCGAGACCCUCAGCUUCCUCGACGCAUAUUCCGGCUACCAUCAGAUCGCGAUGAAAGAGGCCGACCAGCUCGCUACCUCCUUCAUCACCCCCUUCGGUCCCUACUGCUACGUUAAGAUGCCAUUCGGCCUCAAAAACGUGGGGGCUACCUUCCAGCGAUGCAUGCUGUAGUGCUUCGGAGACCUCAUUGGGCGGACCGUUGAGGCCUACGUUGACGACAUCGUCGUAAAAUCCCGGAGGGGCGACCAGCUCGUUCCCGUCCUUGAACUAGCCUUCGAGAGGCUGAGGGAUAAGCGUAUUAAGCUCAAUCCCAAGAAAUGUGUGUUCGGAGUCCCAAGGGGCAUGCUGUUAGGCUUCAUCGUCUCCGUGCGCGUCAUCGAAGCAAACCCGGAGAAGAUAGCGGCCAUUAGAGACAUGGGGCCGAUCCGGAACAUAAAGGGAGUUCAGCGCAUCAUGGGAUGCUUGGCAGCUCUAAGCCGCUUCAUCUCGCGCCUCGGCGAGCGAGGGCUUCCUUUCUAUCGGCUCCUGAAGAAGACUGACCGUUUCGAAUGGACCAGCGAGGCCCAGGAGGCACUUGACCGACUCAAGGACCUCCUGACGAAGGCCCCGAUCCUAGUCCCGCCUACCGACGGCGAGUCCCUCCUGCUCUACGUCGCGGCGACCACCCAGGUGGUUAGCGCGGCCUUGGUGGUGGAACGAGAAGAGGAAGGACACGCUCUCAAGGUGCAACGCCCGGUGUAUUUCAUCAGCGAAGUCUUGUCCGAGUCCAAGACACGUUACCCGCAGAUCCAGAAGCUCGUCUACGCCAUCCUUAUCACAAAGAGGAAGCUGCGCCACUACUUCACCUCCCACCCGGUAACAGUCAUUUCGUCAUUCCCGUUAGGCGAAGUAAUCCGGAACCCAAAUGCUACAGGGAGAAUCGCGAAGUGGGCGCUUGAGCUCAUGGACCAGGGUAUCACCUACGUCCCCCGCACCGCCAUCAAGUCCUAGGCACUCGCCGACUUCGUGGCAGAGUGGACGGAGAUUCAAACGCCAUCGGCGCCAGAGAAGCAGGAGUAUUGGACAAUGUACUUCGACGGGUCACUGAUGAGGGCCCGCGCCGGAGCGGGUCUCGUUUUCGUCUCUCCCUUGGGCAUGCGCAUCAGGUACAUGAUCCACCUUCAUUUUCCUGCAUCUAAUAAUGUCGCCGAGUACGAAGCCCUCCUCAACGGACUCCGCAUCGCCAUCGAGCUGGGCAUCCGUCGGCUGGACAUCCGGGGCGAUUCCCAGUUGGUCGUCGAACAAGUCAUGAAGGAGUGGAGCUGCCACGACCCCAAAAUGGCAGCCUACUGCAACGAGGUCCGUAAGCUCGAAGACAAAUUCGACGAGCUAGAGCUCAACCACGUCGCAAGGCGCUUCAACGAAGCCGCCGACGAGCUGGCGAAGGCGGCAUCCGAAUGAAUGCUCGUCCCCGACGGCGUCUUCGUUAGCGACCAGUUGAAGCCCUCAAUCCGUUACCCAGAACUGCAGGGGUCGGCGAAGCACCCCCGGCCCUGGGAUCGGGACCCGAGUCAGGGGAGGUCGGCAGCGCGCCACCUGUCCGAGACCCGAGCACCAGCCCCGAGGGGGUCGACAACGCUUUGCCCAACUCGGCCCCGGGAGCCGAUCCGUCCGACCCCGGGGUCAUGGAAAUCACGGCAGAUUCCGCGGCGGGUGCCGACCCCCCGAUCGAUUGGAGAGCCCCAUACAUCGACUACCUCGUCCGCGACACGCUCCCGGCAGACAAAACGGAGGCCCGUAGGAUCGCGCGCCGCGCCAAAUCCUUCGCCAUCAUCGACCAGGAGCUCUACAAGAAAAGCCACACUGGAAUCCUCCAGCGCUGCAUCUCGAUCGAACAGGGAAAGGCGCUGAUCAAGGAUAUCCACGCCGGAGCCUGUGGUCACCACGCCGCGCCAAGGACCCUCGUUGGUAACGCCUUCCGACAAGGUUUUUACUGGCCGACCGCGGUCGCGGACGCUACCCAGGUAGUCCGCACCUGUGAAGGAUGCCAGUUCUUUGCCCGCCAGACUCACCUGCCCGCGCAGGCGUUGCAGACCAUCCCCAUCACGUGGCCAUUUGCGGUUUGGGGGCUAGAUCUCGUCGGACCCUUCAAGAAGGCACCCGGGGGCUUCACCCAUCUGCUCGUCGCCAUCGACAAGUUCUCCAAAUGGAUCGAGGCAAGACCGGUGGCGCAAAUCAGGUCCGAGCAGGUGGUCCAGUUCUUCACCGACAUCAUCCACCGCUUCGGGAUCCCGAAUUCCAUCAUCACCGACAACGGCACACAGUUCACUGGGAAGAGAUUCCUCCAGUUCUGCGACGACCACCACAUCCGAGUGGAUUGGGCGGCCGUGGCACACCCCCGCACGAACGGGAAAGUCGAGCGAGCCAAUGGCAUGAUACUCCAGGGUCUCAAGCCAUGGAUCUUCGACCGCCUUAAAAAAUUCGACGGACGGUGGGUUGCGGAGCUUCCCGCAGUCCUUUGGAGCCUGAGGACGACCCCCAGCCGGGCGACGGGCUUCACCCCGUUCUUCAUGAUCUACGGGUCAGAGGCCAUUUUGCCCACCGAUCUAGAGUACAGAUCGCCAAGGGUCAAGGCAUACGACGAACAGGGAAACCAGGCAUCAUUCGAGGACGCGCAAGAUCAACUCGAUGAAGCGCGAGACGUAGCUCUACUGCACUCGGCUAAGUACCAGCAGGCCCUACGGCGUUACCACAGCCGCAAGGUGCAAGGCUGAGCCUUCAACGUCGACGACUUGGUGCUCCGCCUCGUCCAAGACAACAGGGGUCGGCACAAGUUGACUCCCCCAUGGGAAGGCCCGUUCAUCGUCGUACAAGUUCUACGGCUGGGCACCUACAAGCUGGCAACUCCCGACGGGCAGGUUUUCAGCAACGCCUGGAACAUAGAACAGCUAAGGUGCUUUUACCCAUAGCUUUUAUUUCCAAGCCCUGCAUAAAACUUGUCUUCAAUUCCGAUAUUUCCUUUAAGCUCAGGGGUAUCCGACCCUGGCCUCGUUCCAGGGCCGCAUACCCCUCGGGGGCUACCAGUUUUGCUCCUCUGCGAAAAAAAAGAAACCCCGAGCCGUCUCGGUUCAGGCCUUUUCCUUUAAGCUCAGGGGUAUCCGACCCUAGCCUCGCUCCAGGAUCGCAUACCCCUCGGGGGCUAUCAGAGGUUCCGACCCCAGCCGCUCGGCCCUAUCUAAAAGAAACAUUUUUUCUUUUCAAACCGAACACUCCCUUUCUAGACCUUUGGGCGCAAAAAAGAGAAGGAUGCGCGAACGGUGCUCAGGCAAGUUUGAUCGGACUGCGAAAAAACCUACGCCCCAGCGGCUACGGCACCUUCGCUCAUCAAAACUUAAUGACGCACCCGACAACGCAUUCUAAACUUUCAAGCCCAAAGGAACAGCAAAGGGGAUCGGGAUCUUUCGCACAACGAAGUCAUAAACAAGCCUGUAUGGCCAUCACAAAAUAAGUUCGAAACUAACAUAAUUACAUUUUGGGCACAAGCCCGGUACAGUUAACUUGACGAGGGGUCGGCAGGAGGGAUGACCUCAUCUUCCAGGAGCUUCGCGAGGGCCUCCGCCGGCGCGGACACCGCUGCAUCAAUCCCGUCCAGCUCAGCUUCGGUGUAAUCAGCGGCGUACCCUUCACUCAUCCCGGCAAAGUUGAUGCCAGAAUAAUGGGAGCCGAAGACCCCGAAGGCUCGCCGCAUGCCGACGUGAAGCGCGUCCAUGGCGAUCUCGCGACGUCGACGGCGUACCCCAAGGACACGAGCCGGCAGAGAGCUCGACCCCUCCUCCGGAACUACGCCAAAGUCGUCACAGACGACGCGGACCGCAUCCCGCAAGGCGCCGUGCUCGCCGUGCUCCGCGUCGAGCAAACCCUUCAGCUUGGCGAUUUCGCCUGCAGGAACCACCCAGAAAAGCCCACCAAGUCAAGAACAGAACACAAAAUGUCACGGGAACGCGGGAACGGAAAAAAAAAGCCUCACCGUCGGCCCAGGCCUUCAACUCGCGCUCCCGGUCGGCUCCUUGAGACACGGCGGACUGGAGUCCCUGCACUUGCGAGCGAAGGCGACCAGUCUCCGCGCUAAGGGCUUCACGCUCCCCCCUCAGCUGUGCAAGCUCCCCGGCAUCACGACGGGCCCUCUCAGCGGCAGCUUGAAGCUCCUCGGCGUCGCGGCGGACCCUCUCAGCGACAGCUUGGAACUCCUCGUGGUCGAGGCGGGCUUUCUCGAUGACGGCUUGGAGCUUGGCCUCCGAUCACCGCGCCUCCUCCAACGCCGCCCCCUCACGCCUUUGCAGGUCCCGAAUGACCCCCUGGGCGGCAGUGACUUGCAGGGACAGGUCCCUGGUGCGCUCCCUCUCCGCGUUGAAGCGCUCCCAGAGACCCUGCUGCAGCCGAAGGAAAUCAGAUUUCCCCCGACUGCCCUCUUGGAGGGCCUGCAAAGCAACGUGCCAUUAGAAAAAAAAAAGCAAAAGGGAGGUGCUGAUCACCAACAGUAGGAGCAACAUACCUGGCUGCCAGGGAGGACGGUGUUACCCAGAACCCCCAACGCCGAAGACAGAGCCGCCUCAACGUGGGCAAGGCCGCCCUGCAUCGCCUGCCACUUGUGCCACUCAGUGGCGUCGUCCAGCGUGAAGAGAUGCCUCGGCGGGUCAUCGCGGGAUGACCAGCGAAGGACAGACCCCCUCCACGCCCUGGGAACGGAGGGAGCCGAGGCCGAGGCAGGGGCCGAUCCUGACGCUGCCGUCAAGGUCGGCACCAUUGCACUAGAAGCCGCCGAGUUUACUGACGGCCCCGGCACCUGCACGCUCGUCGCCGCCGAGGCCGCCGGCGGUAUCCCAGUGGGCCCCUCCGCCUCCGCCGCCGGAGCCACUCCCGCGGGGGUAAUUGGGGCGGAGGCCCCCGCCUCCGUCACCGUUGCCUCCGCCGCCGCGCUUUCGGGGGCAGGCGUUCCCUCCGCCACCGAUCCCGCCGCGGCUGCGGGGGCAUCCGCCCUACCUCCCGUCGCCGCCGUCUCCUCUGCCUCGUCGGCGUCGAAGUCGAUCACCUUCCCGGCCUGAGAACCCGGGGGGAUCGUGCCCUGCGCUGUAGGGGCGACUGGGGGGACCGAAGGCGGAGUAGGGUCCGCUCCCCCUCCCACGGCUGACACCGCCGUCGCUCCGCCGGCCGCCACCACAGGGGCCGCCUCCGCGGAGGGGUCCGCGGCCUCACCAGGGACCCCGCCGCUCGCCGCGGGCGGGACCGCGGUCCGCCCCCCAGAGGAGGUUGACAACCGCAACGCCUUCUUAGGCACCAGCUGCAGGGCAAGGCCACGAGGGGCGGCGCUGCAUAUCGACAAACAGACGUCAGCACAAACGAGCGUGAGAAGAGGAGAGGAACGAGGCGCAAGGAAGGCCAACUUACGUCCUUGAAGCACAAGGGCGGCGCGCGCGCUUCGACUCAGAGCCCGACGCCGACCCCGGGGCAUCUGGCAGCGGCCGCUUGUCGCCACUUCGCUGCUCUCCAGUCGCGGGCACGGCGGUGGAGGCAGUCUCUGCAGAUCUCCGAGGAGCACCCUGAGCGGACUCCUGGGGAGCGCCCCGCGCCGGCUCUGAAGUGGCGGCGGGGGCAGGCUCCGAGGACCCCCGAGGGGCGCUCCGCGCCAGCUUUGGGAAGGAGCCCCGUGUCGACCCCUGGGGGGCACCCUUCACCGACCCCUGGGGAGCGUCCCGCGCCCGCUCCUGGGAGGCACCCCGCGCCGGCCCCUGGGGGGCGUUCCGCGUCGACUCCUGGGGGGCGUCUCGUGCCGGCUCCGAAGCGGCGGCGGGGGCAGGCUCCGAAGACCCCCGAGGGGCGCUCCGUAUCGACCCCUGGGGGGCACCCCUUGCCGACCCCUGGGGAGCGUCCCGCGCUCGCUCUUGGGACACGCCCCGCGUCGGCCCCUGGGGGGCGUCCCGCGUCGUCUCCUGGGGACACGCUGUACUGGCCCCUGGGGCGCAGCCCCAGGGCCUGGUGGAGCCGAAGCCCGGGCGGGCGCCUCCUCCACUUCACCUCCCGCGGCCGUCCGCGGGGGUGCCUCACGAAUGGCGAGGGCGCCCGAUCGGAAGGAGGAAAUCAGCUCCUCCUCAUCAUCAUCUUCCUCAUCUUCAUCCUCUUCAUCAUCGUCGUCAUCAUCGUCGUCGUCGUCAUCGAACACGACCGACCCCCUCCGCCGCCGUUGGAACUCCUUAGCGGCCUUCUUCCUCUUCUUCGCCAUCUCGAUGUCCUUCCGGCGCUUCUGCGCCUCGGCGAGGAGACGGUUGUGCGUCCGCCGCUCAACAUCUUCCGGCACCGGCGGGAGCGAGUGCGCGACCCGGGUUAGCGGACCCUACAAACGCAAAGCAGCUCCACGUCAGAGUGACAAUCGCAAGACACGAAGAAAGGAGGAGGACGCCCCAACUCCUUACCAGAUCUAUGAGCCCGCAUCCGGGCGCAUCGGCGGGUGCCCGGGAAUCGGGUACUCGACGUCCUUGUCCUCCAGCGCCUCCCGAAUCCGUUGCCGGAUCUCGGAAGCGACGAGCGCACCCGUCGCCAAGGCGGUGCCCUCGGUCGGCGCGUCGGGGGUCAUGGCGGCAAGCGGUCGGAUUCAGAGCAUCAGUGGCGCCACCCGUCGGGUGUGGUACGCUCCGAUGACCCCGGCGCCGGUGAGCCCGUCCCGCUUCAGCCGCUCGAUGGCCUGCAGCAGGUCGAAGAACCGCUUCUUGUCCUUCUCCACUGGCCCGUACGCCCACACCUCCGGCGCCGCGUCGAUGGUACGGCCGGUGAAAGCCGGCAGGGGGGAGUUCGGGUAGUUCUUCACAUAGAACCACUGGUUGUGCCACCCCUUGUGGGACGCCGAGGUCUUCAUCGUCAUGUUCUCCUUGGAGCGGGUAUGACGAAGGUGGAUCCCGGCGCACCCGAUCGGCACCGGAGGUGACCGCUGCUGGCUCCCUCGCUUCUCCGUCUUCUGGUACAGGCUCACUGUGAAAAAGUAUUUCCACAGCGAGAAGUGGGGCUCAAUGCCUAGGAAUCCCUCGCACAGGGCGACGAACGCCGCAAUGUGCUGGAUCCCAUUGGGUUUGAGGUGCUGGAGCUCGAGCCCAUAGUAGUGGAGGAGCCCCCGAAAGAAGCGGCUCGAGGGAGAGGCGAACCCCCGCUCAUGGAAGUGAGCGAAGGAGACGAUGUAGCCAGAGAGAGGCUCCGGCACCUGCUCCGGGCCCGACAGCAACCACUCAGCCGCCUCCGUCUUCUCGCAGAGGAGGCCUUUUCGCACCAGGCCCUCGGCGCGCGAGGAGGUGAAAUGGGAGAUCCCCCAGGAACCCAUCGCCGGAGGAGGGAGAUCAACGGAGGUGAGAAGAAAGGGCACGGCUUGGAGCAAAGGAAACGAAGCGGGCACGGACAAACUGAACGCUAGGCUGGAGGGCGGAAAGGCUCGAAUGCAGAAGGCGGGCGGAACCGGCGCGGCGGGCUCCCGUUUUUAUAGGAAAGGUACGGGAGAAGCCAAAUCGACGCCCCGGCCGCCAUAAAUGCGGCGCCAGGUACGCCCCUGCCACGCCCGUUUCCUUUUCGAAAACCGCGCGCACGGCCGGCCGCGAAAACAUCCUAUCCUCCUCGAUUCGCGGGAUGGCGCUUCCCAUAACUCCACCUCCCGGAAGGCACGACGUCCCCCACGUUCGGCCCAGACGUCACGACCGCUCCGUUCUGGCCCAAGGCCCACCGAAAGGUAAGAAAGGGAUACGGGGCUGAAAACGCCCCUACGGCCCAUUACGGUCCAGAGGUUCGAAGGCUGGCCCACCGCGGGAUCGACAGCUGCCUCAGGAUAUCUCCCGAGCAAGGGGUGAGAAGGGACGGGUCCACUAGCGGCCAACACCCAGGCAAGCGAAAGCCAAGGGCGUCCCGACCUCACGUUCGAGUCCCGUCCGGUAUAAAGUUCAUGGUUUUUCCACGGGGAAAGGCAACGAGCCCCCGGAUUCGGCCGAACGGACCCGGGAACUAUAUGAACUGGCCGGCGGGAAAUUGUAGUACGCCACCAGCUUGGCCCGAGCCGGACCCCCCCGAACGGGGACCGGGACUCCACUCGAACCUACCUGUUCGCAGCUCAAAGCGAGCACCACGGUUCGUCCAACUAGGAUAACGUGGCACGGCUCAACCCCUCCGUCCUAGCGAACGGACGCUUGAGGGGCAACGACCAAAAGUCGACCUGGCCUCCCGACCGGUCUCCCGCAACGAGCAGGGGCUCGGGGGCUAGCAUCGCAACCAACGACCAUGCGUAUGGUCACGAUUCCCAGGCUCCCCGGCCAAACCGGGAUGAAGCAAGCGCACCAUAAACAAAAUCCACGGAGAAACGGCGAAAGAAGCCUCCGGAGGAGCACUUUUUGCUCCACCACAGGCUCGGGGGCUACUGUUGGGGGGAAAUAUUAACGAUCCCCUAAAUACCGCUUAAAGGAGCAGACGCGAAGGCCCGGGCCCACCUAAGCAUAAUCAAAACUCCGCCUCGCCCGACCGCGGCCUCAGGGUCAGGAACGCCCGACUCCCCUCCACGAGGUUUCCGCCUCGUCCGACUACGGCCCCAGGGUCGGAGGCGCCCGACCCCUCGCCACAAGGUUCCGCCUCGUCCGACCCCAAGCGCAAGGGUCGGGCUCGCUGGGGCCCCCAGGGCAGGCAUCCCCCUCGGAUGCGGACCAGGUGGGCAAGGUAAACAAAUGCUGCGGGUCCCUCCCCCGUCGGGCUCAUCAUAAAUGCGCCGCAGGCCUGGCAGAGGGAGGAAUGACCGUGCUCCUCACACAACCCGCCGCAAGUACCCAUGCACGACCAUACUCUACAAGCUACAGCGCUGGCGGCUCACUCCCAUUCGCCGCAGGGUACUCAUGGCCUGCGCCGACCGGAGCGGAGGAGAGACUCGCCUGUCCUCGGGCCCCGCGCACCCUCGGGUCCCGUGCGCCUGGCAGCUAGGAUGUGACGCCCUCUCUCCAGGAGCCAUCAUCAGAACGGCAGCAUCCACCGUCCUCCCCAACGGACACCGGGAUAACGACGAAACGCCCUCAUCAUAACCCGACGCCGACGGAUGCCGAAGGAGCUAUCUGUAGGGUGCGACGACAGUUGGCGCACGGCCGCCUCCCCCUCCGGCAUGCACGCCGGCGCUCGCCAGGAGCCGGCGGAGGCGUCGGGCGUCUAGGAACUUGUUCCUCCCAUCCUGCCGUAUUUUUUACCGUACUACGUUCACAUUUUACGGUCCUCUUCGCCCGAUCCCAACUGUAACUCUGGCCACUCCCCUUGCGAUAUAAAAGGAGGAAGACAGGGCCGGAGGGGGGAUCGGCUUCUUCCCCCUCAAGCCACAGCACGCUAGUACGCUCCCUGAGAACAUAGGCACAAAGAGACUUGGGACCAGUCCCUCUCUCGUCGGUCUGUAACCCCUACUACAGAACUCCGCGUGGGUAAUACGAGCAUUCACGAUACUGGACGUAGGGCUCCCUUUGCCCGAACCAGUCUAAUUCGUGUCUCCCACGCCACCAUCUGAGGCCUUACGCGCAUAAAAGAAAUUUACUAGUCUAAGUCUUGAUCCGCCAAUCUUGACAACGACAAAUCUAAAAAUCCAUAACUAAUUAAUUUUAAAUCAUAAAAGUUUGAAACUAUUACCCAUCAUCUUUUUCUAGAAUGUUACCUUUUAUGUUGGUUUUUUUGAGUUAUUUGCAUAUUAUUGUCCCCAUCUCUAGUGUUUUAUUGCUUGUAGUCAAACCUACUAUUUAUUUAUUGUUGUUUUGCAUUGUAUGAUUAUUGGAUGCUAUGCGAUACAAAGAUAAUUGUUCAACAACCAUAUGCAUCAUGAAGAAAUUUCCGGAUACGAUUGAUAUUAGUACAUUAUUAACUUCUUAUCAAGAAAUAUCAAUGAAGUGUUUUAUAUGAAUAUUUUUAAUGCACCUUGAGUUUUUGGAUAACCUUUUUCAUAAAAGUUAAUUAGAUGCAUUCUUAACUAAAUAAGCCAUUUGGUAAUUUUUCAAAAAUGUUUAUUUAGGUAACAGAAAAUUUAUUUAUUUAUUCUGGAAAAAGUUUUUUUUUAACGAAGUUAGCAAGGAAAGCACCUACCUAUUCUUUAAUUGUUAUUUUAGAUCCGUUUAAUUCGCUCCCACGAGAAGUUGAAUAUAGACCUGCAGGAUGUUACUCAGGUGCUCUAACCACUAGACUAGAGUCCCUUUCGCUUCUGAAAAAGGUUUUACAAAAAUCUUUUCCCUAUUAUCUUUUGUUAAGUCUGGGAUGUUGCCGCACGUGGGAAAGAAAGAACGGGAAACAUAGACCGAGACCGCUGCUGCGCCGCCACCAUGCUUCGCCGUUGGAGGGUUAGGGUUCGGGGUUUCGGGUUAUGGGUCAUCGAUGGCGCGGCUAUCUCCGAUGUGGCUGGGAUAUAUGGGAGGUUGACGGUGGCUAGGUAGCAGGCGGUGGUGGCGGGUUGUGUGCGGGAUGGCGGGACACCACCAGUUCCGAUUUGUGGAAGACAAUAGGUGGCCUCUAGAGGCAGCGGGGGAAUCUUGGUGAGCUUCCCGCGCGGGGCUGGGUUAGGGCGGCGAAGGAUGGUGGCGGUGGAUGUGGCAGCGCGAGCCGCCGGAGAUGAUGGAGGAUGGCGGCGCGGGCGCGAGCAAAGGAGGACAGUGCGAUGGUGAUCGAGGGUUGCGACCGGCGACGCCGGAUGCAGUGGCGAGAGCCGUCGGAGCUAGAGGAGGAGGGCAGCGCGGGGGCAUGGGCGUGCGCGCUCCUGGGCUGCCAUCACUGAAGGUGACAUUGGUGAUUUUUGUCACCUUCUGUGAUAUAUAGAUAUAGACAUGCUCUAGAUAGAGGACUCCUUGGAGAGACCCCGAGAAUGGAGAUGGGCAUUUGGAGCUCUUCCAAAAUAAGGAAUCUAGAGGACUUGCUAGAAUGCAUUUUUUUUGACUUGGUCCAUUGGAGUUGUUCUAAGCCAACAACUAUUAGCAUCCUUUUAGAUAACUCUGUUAAUCUGAAAUACAACAGUUUCCUACUUUAUGUAUAAUGAGUGUCAUUGCGUCACUACGUACGAGGUCUACUUUAUGGCGGAUCUGAAGGUGUGUUUGGUUGGGAUGUGGCUUUUGGAAAAGCUACUGUGAGCUGUGGGCUGUGAAAAAGUAGCGGGGAGAAAGCAGCUGUGGGAAAAGCAGAAGACCGUUUGGUUAGAGCAGCUACGAAACUGUAGGUUGUGUAAGAAAUACCUGUAAUGCCCCUAAAGGUCUGCGGGUGUGUUUACAUGCAAAUUGCUCAUAACAAAAUAAUGUGUUCACUAAUUCACAUGUAAAUGACUAUUUUAGAAAGGAAAAAAAAUAAAUUUUAUAUGUUCUUCAUCCAUAUAAGUGAUUGGUCCACAUAAAUAGAACAAUAUCCAUCAAAAGGUUUAUACAAUGAUGUCAUCUCUCAACAUUACUGUCCUCCUCUCGCACUAACCAAAGCAUCAACUAUCCUAGCAUGAAUGAUAUUCAUGGUAUCCUCAUUCUCCAUAUCGUCACUCUCAUCUCCUUGUGUUUGUCUCGUGCCACUUGUAUAUUGUACCAAGUACUCCUACAAAACCGAGUUAGUAAGGUACAUAAUAAUACACGUAUUUCUAACUUGAUGAAGGAAUCAUGUAUACCUUUAGGAGGCACGAGAAAUAUGUCUCAAAGCAUUGUCGAGAAAAUUGAAAGAAAAGAUGAUGAACAAAGGAGGGUCAAUUCUUGUUGCUCUUUGGACUAGAGGAUUGACGAUGAUCAUUGCAGUCCUAACAAUUCUCUUGUUGCAGAACAGAGUAGCAACUUCUGAGUAGCAUAUGAUUCUUACAUCUUCCAGGCGAGGUGGCUAGUGUGCUGGAUGAAGUUGAGGUCCCUUGGCAACCUGGCAAACGCCUCCGUCAUGUCUGCAGGCAAAAUUUCCAAAAAAAACAAGAAGAUUUCAACACCACCAACAAAGCAAGCAUGUAAUCACCUGAUUAAUCAAUCAGCAAACAAUUCACAACUAGCAAUCUGUAGAAAUUAGCACGCCAUUACCGUCCUGGGUGAUGAGCGGGUAGUCGGAUGCGUUGAGGUUGACGAACCAGUCCCAGCGGCGGUGAAGGCGGAGCAGCAACGCGACGGCGUGCAGCGUGGUGGUGAGCAUGGUGGGGCCCCGGUAGGUGACGAGGUUGGGCCUGCCGACGAUCCACACGUUGCCCGCGAUCGCGUACACACCCCACCUGGACAUGAGCUCUGCCAGCCGGCAGUGCUCCUCCCCUGGACCGCAGGUAGUUGUUGGCCGGGUGGUACAGUGCCGCCAGCAGCCGCAUCGUGCGGCCCACUUCCCCUGAGGAUGCCGAGAUAAGGUAUGCGAACGAGAUCGGGUACCGCGGCGCCUCGCCGGCGGCACCGUCGAAGGCGGCCAACGAUGAGAGUGUUGACGUCGGUUUUUGACACGUGUCAGGGUCGACGUCAAGAGGAGAAGAAAGUGGCUGAUGCGGUUAAACAAGAAGCUAUGGCUAGAGAAAUCAGUCAGUAAAGCUAUAGUGUUUCAGCCGAUUAGCUAAUGAGAUAGAUGAAGACUGGCCGAUUGGAAGCUAGAAAAGCUCGGCCGAUAUGGGCCUAAAUGGGCCAAGGUGGUAACAAGAUGAAGAUAGGAUUGGCCCAUAGAGGAUUGGAUGGUGUUCGACUCCGAUACAAGUUGUAUCCGUAUGUAAAUAUUUGUUGCUUUGAAUAAGAAAUAGAAUAUUGAGUCAUAGUCGGUUAGGAAACGAGUUGUAACAGGGUAUAAAUAGGUGCCCCGUGAGGCUGGCAAAAACAUCAACAAACAUCAAUACAAAUCUACUUUUUCAUGCAACUUUACUUUCAUGUCGGCGACUUUGCCAAACCCUUUUCUUUUCACGAGUUCGUGUGAGUUGGCAGGGCUGCAUCAACGUGAUCUCCGAGCAAUUUGUAAGUUCCGCGUUUCGAGUAAUAUAUAAGCUUUAACUUUGGGCGUAUCGCUGUUGUUUUGUUUAGAUUUAUUCACUAGUUAUCGAUAUUUGCUAGAAUUAUAGGUUUUAUUCUCCGGUGGAAAGAUUGUGCCUUUGCCUGUAUUUCUCUUGCACUAAACUCAGGCGAUACCUAUUAUCGGCGGAAUGUGUGGUCGCGUGUAAAGUUGAUGUUGUCAAGUAUAUGUUAUCACUGCCGAUCUUGAAGGGAAGGAUUGGAAAAUGUAUUCUGGCACUCUCAGAAUUCGAUCUCAGGUACGAAUCGGCCAAGGCCGUCAAGGGUCAGGUAAGGCUGAUUUCGUCACCCAACACUGUGGAUCAGAAAUUACUGUCGUUGAGCCGGCUCCAUGGACUCUGUACUUCGAUGGAUAUUCGUGUGGGAUUGGAUCAGGAAUCGACAUAAUUCUUAUAUCGCCUCGGGGGGCAAGUUAUGAGUUCUCUCUGCCGAUUGAGGCUUCCGCUACUAAUAAUCAAGCAGAAAAUCGGGCUGUCUUAAAGGGCAUCCAAUUAUUGAGGGAGGUCAAGGCUGACGUGGUAGAAAUAUUUGGGGAUUCCAUGAUUAUCGUGGAUCAGUUGAUUGCAAAGUGUGAGUGCAAGGAUGAUAUUCUAAGGAUUUAUUAUGAGGAAUGCCUCCGGUUGCUCAAAGAAUUCAAGACCGUAACUAUUGAACAUAUCCCUAGGGAUUACAAUGAGGAAGCCAAUAGACUUGCCCAGCACGCUUCUGGCUACUGGCCGAUUCAUGGCGCUUUCGCUCUAGAGCUGGCGGCCGACAACUGGAGGAAGGAGAUCGCCGAUUAUUUAAAGGAUCCAUCCAAGAAAGUUGAUCGGCAGAUACGCUUCCAAGCCACAAAGUAUGUGUUACUUGAAGAUGAAUUGUUUUAUCGGACGAUUGAUGGAGUGUUUCUCAAGUGCCUUAGCAUUGAGGAAGCAAAGAUUUUGAUGGGUGAGAUUCAUGAAGGUCUAUGUGGGACCCAUCAAUCGGCUUUCAAGAUGAAGUCGAUGAUUAGAAACAAUGGGUAUUACUAGCUGACAGUACUUGAAGAUUGUUUCAAAUAUUAUAAAGGCUGUCAGGAUUGUCAAAAAUUUGGCAACGUGCAACGAGCCCCGGCCUCGGCUAUGAACCCGAUAUUAAAGCUGUGGCCAUUUAGAGGCUGGGUAAUUGAUCUCAUCGGUUAGAUCUAUCUGCCGUCAAGCAAAGGGCAUAAGUUCAUAUUGGUGGCGAUUGACUACUUCACCAAGUGGGUUGAGGCGGUUCCUUUGAAUGUUGUGAUGUCGGCCAACAUGAUCGAAUUCAUGAAGGAGCACAUCAUUUAUCGAUUUGGUAUUCCUCAGACCAUCAUGAUUGAUCAGGGGUCAAUGUUUACCUCAGGGAGUUCGAGGAGUUCACUGCCAGUAUGGGAUUAAGCUGUUGAAUUCUUCUCCGUAUUACGCUCAGGCCAAUGGUGUGACGACCCCGGUUAAAUCUUUCGAGUUAAUCUUAAUACGAGCCCCAAAAUUCCUCUGUCUCAGUUUUUCCCGAGCAGGAGUGCUCCACUCCAGUUCCUGUUCCUGACCCGUGAAGACUCUAACUCACCCCGCCAGUUCCUUUUAAGUCUCAACAACAGUGUCCCUUUCAAUCUUGAACAGAGGAAAGACCGAGACUGACGGAUGGACCCGCAAUCUUUUCCCCGGAUCUCCCGAGGCAUACGCACUCGAGCGGCCUGCACCGCUUCAGAGCUCCCCCGCCGCGUGGCUCAACUUCUCCGACGCCCGCCGCUUCACCCAAUCGCCGGCCGGGACAGGAUAGAUUCUCACGCCCUCCUCCCCAAUCGCAGCGGAAGCCCCUCUGCAACCCUUUCUGCUGCGCCUCGUCUCGCUCGCGCCCUCGCCGGCCGCGCCUUGGUGCUCCGACACCGCUGUGGCAGAGCUUUGCCGCUUGCUGCAUCCAAACUACCUCGCAGCUCACGCCCGUCAUCAUCUCACUGGAUCCCCGACUGCAAGGCCCGAUGCCUUCCGACUUUUCCACCGCCUCUACACAGUCGCGCUCGCCUGCGCAGCCGCAGCCUGCCUAUCUUUUCACCGGUUGCAACCUCGCUUGUAGCGCCGUUCUCCCUGUCACACCCAUCAGAUCCGCCGCAUGACGACGCCCGCCUCCGCCAAACCUCAACUACCGGCAAAACCGCGCCUGCGCCGCCUUGUCUCCCGUGCCCAAUAGCCAAGGACCCUAUCUCCGAAAUCCUGUUCCGCCGCCCAUCGACGCCCAGUCGCCGCCAUGGCAGCGCACUCCAUCCUUUUCUUCCGGUCUUCGUGCUACUCCAACUCCCUCUCUCUUUCGCGCAGCUAUAAAAAGGAAUGCCAGAGCCCUACUGGAGAUCCCUUCACCAUCGUUGCCUCGCCGCCUUGUUCCUGAGCGCCGCCACCUAAGUUCUUGAGGAACUCUCAUCUUCGCUCAACACCCGCCCCUCCCAAUCCACCAAGCCGCCUGCUCCUCCACGCUAUGCUAGAGCUUCCUUGUUGCUCACAAGAAGCUCCGCCGCCGCCGGAGCACCGCCGGACAUAGCCGCCACCAAAGCCUUAGUGCUUAAGACCUUCCGCCCAAGUCUACUCCUUCCCGACCCCAAAGCUUCACCUAUAAACCAAAGGUAAGCUGCCGACCCCUUACCGGUUCGCCCGACCCUACCUGUUCGCCUGACCCUACCUGUUCGCCCGACCCCUCUUUCCAUCUCGCCCGACCCUGUCUGUUAGCCGGCCCUUAUCUUCUUCGCCCGAGGACUCGGCUGUACUCUUUUCCUUGACCCGAGGGUAUCUGUGUAAGAUUUCGGGGACUUCUCUGUAAUAGCUUUGAGGACCCCAAACACAUUAAGGCUUAUGGGUCAGAUCAUAAGUUCUUCCAAUUCGACCCUUGGUCUUGUUCUCUAUCCACUGAAGCUUGAACCCCCACACUCUUUCCGUAGCUUUGCUACAAGUUUCUGGGCUAAGACUUGCGAGUGUUGCUGUUGAAAUAACCGUCUAGACACUAACUCCAGCAUUGCAUUCGUGUAGAGUUUCAUCUUGCUGACGGCGUCUACGAACUACACCCGGUGCCAGAAGACGGAGCUGUAGCUGAGCUACCAGUUCCAGAAGCCGAAGUCGCACCAGCUGAAGACCCGCUUCCCUCCCCUCCACUUGAAGGCAAGUCCCGGAGCAUGAACCCCAAAGUUUCCCAAACUUGCGCAUGCCUUCUUUCUCAUGUUUGUGCAUUUACGUAUAGGAGUUGUUUGCAACCUUAGAUGCAUGGUAUAGUUCCUUGAUCGGAACACUAGUUGUUGAAUCGAGUAGUUGCUAUGCUUAAAUAGGAAGUGGUAAAAGUCGAGUGAUUUCCUGUCACUCGCGAGUUAUAGGAGUUGGUUGUUCUCCUUCUGUUACAACUAUAAGGACGAUGGAUGGGGCAAGGUUUUGGUUAACUCUUUUGCUAGUCGGCUGAUCCCCCCGUCUGUCUAUGGAAUCUGUUAAGGCCCGAUAGUGGUGGUGUUCGUGAUCAAGUGUUUGAAAGUACUAAUCUCAUACCUAGUAUGGGAUGGGGAAGCCUAGUACCUGAUUGAACUAGGGCGUGGCUUAUACCCCUGCUGUCCCUGGAACGAGGUUCCCAUGGUGCAUCAUGUGGGUGCAAGUGCGGUCACAGUACGGUAGAGGCCGGGAUUGUGGAGCAUUGCAUGCCAAGGGAAGUUGGACCUGACACGUGCCUGGGAAUUGAUGGGGACGGCUGACACAGGAAGCGACCCUUGUGGUGCGCGGAUGUCGUGAGAUUAGGUUUGCCAUGCAUGGUUAAGAAACUCGAAGGAUUCGUCUGCCUCUCACAGUUUGAGACUGCUUGAUCGCUAUGCUACACUGAUUAAUGAAAGAGUCUGAUGAUGACAUGGUCUUGAUGAGUAGCUUAUAUACAUAAAGUUGGAUCUAUGUUUGCUUAGAGUAAGAUGCCAACGUAGACUGGUUAAUGAACUUAGAAUUUGAGCUAAAACUUGAAAGCAAGGACCUAACGUAGUAGCUUUUGGCAAACAAAACCCCUCAGCCAAAGAGCCUUGCAUGUCUAGACGUGGUGGAGUAGUUUUACCACCGGUCGGUUAAGUCUUGCUGAGCGUAGCAGCUCAACCUUGUUUGUGGCUUUCUUUUCAGGUGAAGUCGCAGCUCCUGAGUUUGCUUCCGUUGGCACUUGGCCGCCCCAGCUCCCUCCGGGUUGGACGGUUGAGUGGGAUCCUUCCUCGGACGGUGAGGAGAGGGAUCAUUGAUGUCCUGAUCGGCCUCAUUAGGGACAUCCGACCCUGGCGCUAGCUUCCGCUAAUUUAGCUUUCCGCUGCUUUUGAAUCUUGUAAAACUCUGAUUUUUGUUUUUAUGUUGAACUAAAUUGUCAAACUUGUUUAACUCAGUGGAUCUGUUGUAUUCUCUGAAACCGCUCACCUUCGUGUGAGUUUCGCUAAUCCGGUCCUGUAAGUGGUUUAAUCGGAGGAAAUCCGACGGCCCUUCGAGUUAACUUGACUAAGGCAUAAGUGUCGCGUGUCAGGCGACUUAACAAUGCUUUAAUCAAGGUAAUCCGAGGUGGUUCCACCACAAAUGGUCAGGCCAAGUCAUCAAAUAAGGGGGUUAUUAAACUGAUUAAAAGGAAGGUCAAAAAACAACCAAGACGGUGGCAUACAACGCCGAAUGAGUCCUUAUGGGCUUAUCGGAUGGCUUGCCGCGGUGCCACCAAGGUGUCCCCUUAUCAGUUAGUAUAUGUGCAUGAAGCAGUAUUACCUUGGGAGUUGAAGACUGGGUCUAGACGUGUGUCACUUCAGAAUCAGUUGUCGGUUGAUGACUAUUCCGCCCUCAUGAGGGGAGAAUUGGAAGAUUUGGCGAAUCAACAGCUAAGGGCUUUGAUCAGCAUUGAGGAAAAUAAGAAAAGAGUCACCAGGUGGUAUGACAAGAAGGUCAAGGUCAAAAGGUUUUCCCAAGGGGAUUUAGUCUGGAAGUUGGUUCUGCUGAUAGUAUGGAAAAUGGUCGCCCACUUGGGAAAGGCCAUAACGGAUUAGCCAAUGUGCUCUAGGCAAUGCAUACAUACUGGAGACUUUUGAGGAAGAAGAAUUUACAAGGGCCUUGAAUGGAAGAUAUUUGAAAAGAUACUACCCUAGUAUAUGUGUAGGCGCUUAGCCGAUGAUGUGGCAUAACGGGCUUUCACGGUCGACGCGUACUGAUUCGUGUUCAUAUAGCCGAUGCAAGGGGCAUCGCCUUAAGAUUGAAAGAGGCGAAAUAGUGUAUAUAUAACUAAACCGAUCAUUAUUCGGUACACCAACUAAAUAUAUGGCCGGCAUGAUACAAGUCGCCCUUAGAUAAAAAGUACCGACACAGUUAUGGGUUACAACGAUUUAACAACGUUUCAUGUGAGCUUUAUUCAUAUCGAUUUCUUUCUGAAGUCGAUCCAAUUCGAUCUGGAGUCGGGCGUUCUUCUCCUCUAGUUCUGCCAUGUCAUCUUCAACAGCAACUUGACAGGGUAACAGAUGGCUUCUUUCGACUGAUUGCCGUGGUUGCCUUCUAGAAGCUUUAGCCUCGAUGUCAUCCACAAUCCUCUUGAUAUUCACGGGGAGGUGAUCUCUGAGUUCCUCACGAUGAGUUUGGAUCAGGUCUUUGUCAGCCUGAGUGAGCGGUUCAUCGGAGUGGAGGAUCUCAAUGGCUCGUUCAAGAUCACGGCUGAGUCGGUUUGGCUACGAGAAGAAUUGAUGAUCAAUUGACAGAGGGAUUGGUCGAGAGAUAGGAGAUUGACUUCGUACCUGAUUGACAGAGGAGGAGGAGGCCAUCUUGGUCGCUCGAUCGAAGAUUUGUAAGCGCGCGCAAGGAAUGGUUGAGUGGGUGUUUUGCGAAUGCCUUCAGAAGGGAUGCGAAGGGUUUGUACUUAUAGAACAGAAUGGCAAUGGACAAAGGUCGGUAAAAGGAGGGCAUUUAAAGAAAGCGACCGUUGAGUCAUAAAAGCUACGUGAGGACUGUUCAGACUUGCAUUUCAGACAAAAACGCCAAAAGUAUCAACGUUACACAAGAUGUUCAAAGGCUGGUUGAGUUCGUUACAACUAUCCGAGGAGAUUGUUUAUGGUCUCAAUCGCUCGCAGGCGAACUUGGUUGGCCACCUCCAACACUCGCCGAUCAUCAUCGGCUGAUCCUAAGACUUCUGGCGCAUUGCGAUGAAGAUGGAUGGCCUCGUGAGUGAGGGAUUGUCUUUCUUGUUUAAAAUCAACGAUGGCGGUUGGAAGAUCUUCAAGUUUCUUUUCUUCGGUAGCGAUAGCCUUUACGACCAGUUCCAUCUCCUUGGUGAGCUCUGCUCUGCGCCAUUUGAGUUGGUCUAUUUCACUGAUGAUGCUUGGAUGAGAAGUCUCAUGGAGACCGAUCUACCGAUGUACGUGUUGUGCACGGUGCUUGUAGGACUCUUCUUCUUGACGCACCAUCUCCAAUUUAGCACGGUCAGCCAUGUGUCGCAAGGCUCUAAACACCGGGACCCGCAUGGUUUCGAUAUAUGCUGCGGGUGUGAGAACCUCUUCUGCGUCUUCUGGGACUUGGCCUUUGAUCUCGUUGAAAAUCCACCGUAUCAGUUUGGCAUCUUCCACCAAUCGACCGAUGUUUUCCUGAAGAAGGGUUCGCAUGUUUUGGAGCUUGGCACGGACAUCUUCUGGUAUUGAGCUCAGAGUUAUUUGGCGUGAUGCAACUUCUUCGUCAUCAGAGACCGCAAUUGCAGAGGAGAAGAGGCUUUUGUUUGGCGUGUCUUACUCCUGCAGGGAUGUGGGAAAGUGUUUUAGCCGAUAAAAGUAAAAAAUCGGCUGGUAGAUAUAGAAGGUUCUUACCUCCUUCAAACAAAUCUCUUCUGCUUGGGUUGGCAGAGUCGUUACUCCCACCUCAGAAGUUUGCGGAGGUAGCUCAUUAGAGGGGGAAGACUUGACAAUGAUCGGCUCUCUAGGCGUAGCUGAUAAUGUGCUUGGACCAGCCUCCUGGAAAAGGAACAAAGGAAUCAUUUUUGAGUAUAAAAUAAUACUGGAUCUAAGUAGAAGUCUCGGUUUUCUUACCUCUCGGACGCGCGCAGCCAACGGUAGCACCAGGGGAAUGACUGACGUAUCUGGAGCGUCCUGUGUCAAGAAUCGUCUGAUUUUAGUUAUCAGAACUGUGGAGACUAAGGGAAGAGCAUGUUCUUUACCUCAAUUUGAAGAUUUGUAGGUAACACAAUUUUAGCUUGAGAAUCGGCCAAUUAAGGAACAGUCUGCUCUAGGAUAGGUUGUACGGCCUGUUGAAAAGAAACAAAUUUAGUAUUGGUGAUACAUAUGAAGAAGUCAGAGCAGAAAGAUUACUCGUGUAGCUUUCACCAAGAGUAACACAAUCGCCGACCCAGCCUCUGAUGCUGCUAGGGGAUCAAUGUCCUGAAUUGCCGACAAUACAUCUGCUUGGAUUGGUGCGGCUGAGGGCUCGACCGAUGUUGCUGCCGAUUGGUGGGUUGUUCGAGUUGUCGUAGAUUCAGUACGAGCUCAUACCCUGCGACUCGUCUUCUUUGUGGUGGAUAUUUUGAGCUUAUGCUUCAAUCGGUUGGUGGCUAUGUCCUCCAUUGAUGGGGCGUGAUAGCCGAUGAGAGGGUACGGUGUGUACGGAUGAUGGGUCUGUAUCAGUCUGCCACUCUAACUGUGCGUUGGAGGCACUUGGCUAUCAACCUGUGCAGGGUAAAAGGAUAAUGAUAAGAAAGUUCUGCAACAUGUGAAAAUUAUUGGUAAGGAAUCGACAAAAAAGUAUUGUUACCUCUGCAUUCGGAUCAGUGUGAGCGGGGUCCAGUUGAUUGCAAUACACUGCAGGGGCCGCACAGGAAAGGUACUGUUUCCACUCGGCCCACCACAAUUUGAAUUGUUGAGUGGAGAAGGGGACCACCAGCCAAGCGCUCAGAUCGAUGGUGUCGGAAUCCGGUGUCAGAUUACACAAUCUGUUGUAUUCCAGUCCUUUUGAAAUCGGUUCUCAAAAUUUCACUCGGCCGACGAAGUGAAUCCGAUUGGUAUUUGUCCCAAGCCAAAUUGCCGAGCUGCUACCGACGGGUUAUAGAACUCAUAUGUUGGAGAGUCCUUGCCAGAGAAGAAAUUUGCCGGUAGAAUCCCAGGUUGAUCAGGGUGUCCAUGAUUCCUUCAUCGAAGGUAUCGGUAGCCUAGUCAAAACAGUCAGGAUUCUAAAAAGUUGGGUUCUCUCUCUGAUAUGGAUACCAAUUCGUCACCUCUUCUUUAAAGCUGUUGUAAAAGCAUCUAAAGUGCUCGGCUAUUCUUGAGGGGGCAAGCUUGCCGCCUGGGAAAGUGGAUACGGCUUCACUAAAGGAAGUACAGCGGCGUCUGGCCAAUGGGUCGGUUUCUGAUUUAACAUUAGGAAAGUCUUGGUCUCAAUCCGCUCCUUGAAGAUUUCGCUCAUAUAUAAGUUGAGCUAGAGAUUGACAAACCACCAAGGACCACCAGGAUUCCUGAUAGGUUCUCCAGAUGAUAGCUUCACGCCGAUGUGAUGCAGCAUGUAAUACACUGACCCUAGUAGAUGCUUUCCCAAAGGGACUGUGGCUCCUCUAACUAGUGCUUCGGCCAAAGCCUGUGUGUUGGAAGUAGGACUGGCUAAUUUACCACAGAAGACAUACCUUUCCUGCCACAUCAUCAAGAAGGUCGUGUGCUCUUUUUCUGUGUUGGGUCCGGUCCUCAUGUUCUUCUCAAUGUAGCCUUUCCAUGUGCUGAUGGCUUUCGUCUCCAGCCGAUGGGUGGGUUUGAUUAAGAAAUCGAAAGGUGAGUCGGUGGAGGAAACAUCGAGGCCAGUCAGCAUCAGAACAUCGGCCAGGGUUGGAGUCAUUGGCCCAUGGUCGAAAAGAAAUGCAUUGAGAGCAUCGGACCAAAAGUAAGAUGCCGCGAUGAGCAGAGAUUCUUUCUUUUCCAUAUGAGAUAGAGAUAAAUUUCUGCAAUGGCCGAUUUUUCGCUCAUCCCAGAAGACUCUGUUGGAAUUUGACAUUCUAAAAAACCAAUCUCUCCAUCCGGGGGUUUGAUUCGGCCAAGACUUGAAAGUGUUCGCCCAAUUGUCUAGUUCCAUGGUCGAUUGCUUAAAAGGGAUCCUGUGAGUUUCUAGUUUAAUCAGAUCGGUUGGGUUAGGAUCUCCCAUAGAGCCAAGAUCGAUGAAUCCAGGGGUGUUGGCCAUGGGAUGGUGAUUCUUUGCCUGAGUUCUUGAGCAAAUGCGAAGAAAGACUAAGAACAGAUCUAAAAUCGCGAAAAGAUGAGGAGAGCCUAGAAGACUUACCUCAGGAACGAAGGUCAUGGUAGCUAUGGGUGCCACCAUUGGAGCUUGGGAGUUGGUGCGGUCGGUGAAGGACGUGAGCAAGUCACUGGAGUGCGCUGGGAUGUGCCUAGAAGUGGCACGAGCAAGGUCGCUGGGGUGUGCCGGGAGAUGAUUCGCUGGAAAGGAAACCCUUUUCGCCCGGAGGAAGAUGAAGCGGCGGAAGAGAUGAGUAUCUGCACGAUGACUCGGGAGAAGGGUAAAUAUGAAAUUUUUACCACGCCGUCUGCGCUAAUUUCGAAAGGAGCGGUUGCCUACAGGUGCUCAGUUCGAAAAAAUGCAAUCAUCAAGGAGAAGAUUUCGGGAGCAAAGAGGGUUUUGCUGCAUUUAUUGUUGCGUCUUUUCUGAAAGAAGGAAUCAGAGUUGAGAAAAUUUCGGAGAAAAAGAUAUGUUUCACUAUGAAGCUGGGAGGCAUGUGUUGAUGCCAGUUUUUAACACGUGUCAGGGUCGGUGUCAAGAGGAGAAGAAAGUGGCCAAUGCGGUUAAACAAGAGGCCAUGGCUAGAGAAAUCGGUCAGUAAAGCUAUAGUGUUCUGACCGAUUAGCUGAUGAGAUAGAUGAAGACUCACCGAUUGGAAGCCAGAACGCUGGAUUUUGACACGUACUUGAAAUCGGUGUCAAAGAAGGAGAAAGGGGGGCCGAUGCGGCGGACUAGAAGCUACAGUUGGGAAUCGGCCGAUUGAAGCUACAAUGUUUCAGCCGAUUGGCGGAAGAAAUUGGUGGAGGCUGGCCGAUUGGGAGUCAAAGCAGUUUGGCCGGUUUGGGCCUAAGGUGGGCCAGGAUGAAUAUUUGCUGAAGAGACAGGCCCGUGGGAAAAUAAUAACCAACUCGAAUACGAGUCGUGUUUGUAACUAUUUGUUGUCGUUUGAAAUUAGAGAUAGAUUCUAGUCGGUUAGGAAAUCAGUUCCAACACGCUAUAACUAGCUACCUCGAGAGGCUUGUAAAAAAAACAACACAUCAAUCAAUACAAAAAAAAUUACUCUUUCCUCGUACUUUACUUUCAAGUCGGCGACUUCGCCAAAACCUUUUUCUUUCACGAGUUCGUACGGAUUGGCAGGGCUGGAUCUACAGGAUCUCCGGCCGAUUCUGUAAGUUCCACUUAUCGAGUAAUACUAAGCUUUAACUUCGGGCGCAUCGCUGUUAUUUUGUUUAGAUUUAUUCACCAGUUAUCGAUAUCAACUAGAGUCAUAGGUUUUACCUGUUAUUUUAGUUUUUAUCACCAAUUAUCCAUCUUGAGGUACGAACUGUCGGUUUUUAUUAUUCUUAUCCUUUAUCAUCACAUAGCCGAUUAGAUCUACUCCAAGUUUUGCUUCUGUAGUGUUGUUUAGGUUGCUGUAAAAGUUUUCCUUAUGAUUGCUACAUGAGUAUCGGCUGUCUUAUAGCCGGUCAUCUCUACGGUAAAUCGGCCGAUUCGCUGAUACGCUCUUCAAGACAGAUCGGAACUCUAGCCGAUCGAAACCCCUAGAAUUUAAUAUUCUUCUUUCCAUGUCAAUCAUUAGGUCAGAUUGACUGGCAUGCCGCGCGAACCGCACUAGGGCAAUAACUCGAACAGGAGCUAAGUAGAUUCUCCUGGGUCGUGUGUCCGACGCUGAGGGUCAUCGGCCAAUUUUCAGCACCAACACACUUUUGGCAUGCCCGGUGGGACCAAACAAGAUCCAACAUGUCGAAGGCUGCUGAGAUCUUUGAAGAUAACGUCCUUGAAGUCAUUGAAGAAAAUCUCAAGGACGAUCAGAAGGAGGAACUGGCGAGGGCUAUAGAAGAAUACAGGAAGACAUGCCUGCAAUCUUUCAUUCGUACCAGAAGCGGGGAGACAGUCAAGAAAGCUCCUCUCUCCACUUCCCGCCAAAUCACCGUCAUCGAGGACUCAGGGAAGAUGUCUGAGAUGAUUCAACAGUCCGUUUAUCAGGCUAUGAUUGACCAAUCCACGGUGAUGACCAACACUGUAUACAACGCCAUCAUCAGCUCCUUGGUUAGCGGCGUAGCUCAGGGGUAUCAGGGACUAGCGUAUGCUCCUCCCAUCGUGGCACCGAUCAGAGGCUUCUUAGCAGCGCCAAACGUGUGUCACUCGACUCCUCAACUAAUGCAGAUGCAACGUGGAGGGUACUACACUUCAAUGCCCCUGGGGUACAAUGGUGCAUCAUUCUAUCAAUCGCAAGAACCGUCUCAUCCUAUGCCAAUUUCAUCCAUACAAUCGCCGCUCUCAAACUCGGCGCCAUGGGGGGUAGCAGCAGCAACCGCCGGUCUGGAUCCGUCAACCAGUUAUGGAAAGUCUCCAGUCCAGGCGUUAUUCCAAUCGGCCGAGGCCGAUAGCCCCGCAAUACCAAACAACCACUUCAGAUAUCGGCAGGAGGACAGGCGCUCUAGAAACACUCAGGGUUGCGGCGUCGAUAAUAUUGUACGAUGAAGUGACAGAUACACUAUGUCAGCAGCCAUCGGCUACUCAGCCGACAACCCAGCCACAAUAUCUGCAGAACACUCCAGUUUAUCACCCGAUCAUGGAACCGCAAAUCCAACAGCACGUACCGAUUCCUCAGCCGGUCGUGCAUCAGCAGCAGGUUGAUUGGACCGCGAAGAUAGCAGAGGUAAUUCAAGAUCAGUUUGUGUUAAAAGCAAAAGUACAAACUUACAUGUACAAGACGCCAUACCCACUUGCCUACGAUCUGUUACCGUUCCCUCAUCGGUACAAAGUCCUUGACUUCACCAAGUUCUCGGGCCUAGACGACACGUUGACUGUCGAGCACGUUAAUAGGUUCAUCAUCCAGUGCAGGGAGGCUGCUACGCAAGAUGCUUUGAUGGUGCGCUUGUUCUCGUCAUCCCUAUCCGGAUCAGCCUUGCAGUGGUUCACUACACUGCCGCCCAACGCCAUCGUUACCUUGGCCGAUUUGGAAAAGCAAUUCCAUAAGUACUUCUAUGCGGGAAUCCACGAGAUGAAACUCUCAGACCUAACUAGCCUCAAGCAAAGAAGCGAUGAGUCGAUGGCCAGCUACAUACAGAGGUUUAGGAAAGUUAGGAACAAGUGCUACACCUUGGUCUGGACUGACACCCAACUAGCCGAUAUCACCUUCCAAGGACUCCUGCCACACAUCAAAGAGAAGUACGCCUCCCAGGAGUUCGAAAGCUUGAGCCAAAUCGUCCAUCGGCUGUCCGGCCAAGAGAUACACCCUUUCGACCAACGAAGGAACUUUCAAAAGAAGGUAGCUUAUGUGGAAGGGUCUGAAUCGGGAGAGAAGGCGGAAAUCGGCCUAGCAGAGUCGGUAAAAGGAAAAAAGCCGAUAUCAUGCCCGUUUGGAAAAAAGGAACCAGAAACAUUCGGCUUUGACACGUCAAAAGCCGACAAAGUCUUCGACUUGCUGCUUCAAGAGGGGCAGAUCAAACUUUCGCCUUACCACACCAUUCCGUCGGCCAAGCAGCUCAAAAAGAUGAAAUACUGCAAAUGGCACAAUACCACAUCCCAAGACAAAAAUGAGUGCAAGAUCUUCCGACAAUAGAUACAAUUAGCCAUUGAGCAAGGAAGACUCAAGUUCGAGGUUCCAGCAAAACCAGUGAAGCCGAUGAAGAUUGAUCAACAUCCCUUCCCCGCCAACAUGGUCAAUGUAGGAAGAAACGCACUCCAAACCAAAGUUUUGAUGUUAGAAUUGGCCAGGAGAAGCGGUGCAGUGGAUCCCAAAAAUCAGGCCACGAUCGGAGAUGUCAAAGGAAAAGGACGGAUGGAAGAAGAAGGUGAAGGAUCAGAAAGGCCACGUCGGCCUGUCACUUCCCAAGACUUACUCAGCAAGUAUCAGCAGCAGCGGGAAGAUUCAAGACGCCACGAAGAGAUGAUGCGCCGACACGAAGAUCACUGGAGGUGCCCGUUUUUCAUCCACUGCUGGGAGAAUAACCUUAGAUUACCGUCGGCUGAUAAUUGCCCUGAGUGCAACGGCCAGUAUCGCAGUGGUCGUCCGUUCAAUAGAUCACGCUCCAAGGAUCGAGGGCUAGAGCCAAUCAGCAGAAAGAGGCACGAGCAAGGAGAUCGGCGCGUUUCAGUGCGUGAUCGGCUGGGGGGUAGAGUUGACCAGCAUAAUCGGCUGGGGGGCAGAACCAGCGCACAUGAUCGGCUGGGGGGUAGAACCAGCGCACAUGAUCGGCUGGAAGAGAUAGCUGACGCCAAAGUCUCAGAUGAGAACCUCCUAGGGUGAGAAUCAGGCUGGGAGCGUGCAAAGCCGCCGAGUAAACCAGUAAACCCCAGAUGGUGCCCAGCCGGUUUGACUAAGUCCUUGAAACGGAGGGUCCAGCGUUUGCACCAAUGGGAGCAGCAAGAAGAAAAACAAAGGUAGGUGAUGGAUAACAAAGGGGACAGGUCUCGAGUAUGGCGUCCUAGAAGAAAAUCCGACGCAGGAGACUAAAAUCAUGAUUCGACAGCUGACUUCAGCAUGAUGUUCAUCUUGCCGAUGGAGUUCAUGCCUCCCGCCGACCGGGACAAUGCGAUAGAGAUAGAGGAGCAAAUGGCACAAUUGGCUCUGGAGCCAAUGACCGCCACUUUUGAGAAACCCGAGGAUUAAAAACGCCAACAUCUCAAGGCCCUGUUCCUCAAAGGACAUGUCAACGGACGACCAGUCACCAAGCUGUUGGUAGAUGGAGGCGCUGCUGUGAACAUCAUGCCCUAUGCUAUGUUCCGCAAAUUGGGCAAAGGUAAAGAAGAUCUAACAAAGACGGAUAUAAUGCUCAAGGAUUUCGAAGGCAACGUAUCUCCGGCCCGAGGGGCACUCUGCGUCGACCUCACCAUCGGGAGUAAGGCCCUACCCACUAUUUUCUUUGUUAUUAAUGGCAAAGGCUCCUACAACAUGUUGCUCGAGCGAGAUUGGAUCCACGCAAACUGCUGCAUCCUGUCUACGAUGCACCAAUGCCUUGUCCAAUGUGUCGGCGACAACAUCGAAGUAGUCAUCGCCGAUUCCACCUAUAGCGUUGCCACGGCCGACGCACAACAGUGGAGCUACGAUCACGUCAAAUUCAAAUAUGGUAGGGUUUGGGACACCAAUUUCCUAAAGGUGUCCGAUUUCGGUCUACAGCCAAUCCAAGCAGUCAGCUCUAAAGAAUCAAGUUAAAAUGGAUCAGUUCAUCUGAGAAGAUGGGAAGCUCGGGCACGGGUUUACGUCGGCCGAUUCAUUGGAGAUGGUGGACCUUGGAGAUGGCAACAAGCCAAAGCCGACGUAUAUUCGUGCUAGGUUAGAACCCGAGUAUAAGCAUGAAUUAAUGAGUCUUUUACGAGAAUUUAAAGAUUGCUUUGCUUGGGAGUAUCAUGAGAUGCCUGGUCUAGACCGGUCCAUCGUCGAACACCGGUUGCCUAUAAAACCAGGGCAUUGGCCGCAUCAGCAACCUGCACGACGUUGUAAUCCUAAAAUUUUACCUGAUAUAAAGGCCGAGAUUACAAGAUUAAUUGAAGCAGGGUUUAUUCGGCAAUGUCGCUAUGCCGAGUGGAUUUCCAAUAUUGUGCCCGUAUACAAGAAAAAUGGAAAGUUACGUGUGUGCAUUGACUUCAGGAAUGUUAAUCAGGCUAUGUCGAUGGAUGGAUAUCCGAUGCCGAUGGCUGAUGUUUUAAUAGACGCCACCGCAGGACACAAAGUCAUCACCUUCAUGGAUGGUAAUGCUGGGUACAAUCAGAUAUUAAUAGUCGAAUAAGAUAUUUCAAAGACGGCUUUCAGAUGCCCAGGCCACCUCGGUUUGUUCGAGUGGGUAGUAAUGAGUUUCGGUUUAAAAAAUGCUGGAGCUACGUACCAACGGGCUAUGAAUUAUAUAUUCCACAAGCUUAUUUGUGUCCUGGUGGAGAUCUACAUUGACGAUGUCGUGGUCAAAUCAAAAGGGUAUCAGGAACACCUGGCCGAUUUGCGAAAAGUGUUGGAAUGCACAAGAAAGCAUGGGUUGAAGAUGAAUCCAAACAAAGUGUGCCUUCGGCGUUUCGGCUGGACAGUUUCUGGGAUUCAUGAUUCACGAGCGAGGCAUCGAGAUCAAGCGAAAAAUUAUAGUUGCUAUCAACAAAGUCGUGGGCCCCCAGAAUAAGACUGAGCUACAGUACUUAAUCAGCAAGGUUAACUUCAUCCGACGGUUCAUAUCUAACUUGUUCGGGCGUAUUCAAGCUUUCACCCCUUUGUUGAAAUUAAAACCCGAUCAAGAAUUUGUAUAGGGUAAGGAAUAGCAGAAAACAUUAGAUGGCAUCAAACAAUACCUAGUCUCGCCACCAGUAUUGGUUCCGCCGCAGGCCAACAAGCCAUUCAAAUUAUACCUAUUGGCUGAUGAACGAGCUAUUGGGUUGGCGCUGGUCCAGGAAUGUGAAGGAAAAUAAAGAGUAAUCUAUUAUGUCAACAGAAGACUCCUGAACGUUGAAACUAGAUAUCCUCCGGUGGAACGGCUGUGCCUUUGUCUAUAUUUUUCAUGCACCAAACUCAGGCACUAUCUGUUAUCGGCAGAGUGCAUAGUCGUUUGCAAAGAUGAUGUGGUCAAGUACAUGUUGUCAUUGCCGAUUUUGAAAGGGAGGAUUGGAAAGUGGAUUCUAGCUCUCUCAGAGUUCGACCUGAGGUACGAAUCGGCCAAAGCUGUCAAGGGGCAAGUAAUGGCCGAUUUCGUGAUCCAGCACUGUGGACCAGAAAUUACUGUCGAACCAGCUCCGUGGACACUAUACUUUGAUGGGUCUGCGUGUGGGGCCGGAUCGGGAAUCGGCAUCAUCCUCAUAUCGUCUCGAGGGGCAAGUUAUGAUUUCUCUCUGCCGUUUGAGGCGUCCGCUACUAAUAAUCAAGCGGAGUAUCGGGUUGUUCUAAAAGGUAUCCAAUUAUUAAGAGAGGUCAAAGCUGACGUGAUGGAAAUUUUUGAGGAUUCCAUGCUCAUUGUAGAUCAAUUAACUGGAAAGUCUGAAUGCAAGGAUGAUAUCUUGAGGAUUUACUACGAAGAUUGCCUCAAGUUAUUGAAGGAGUUCAAGUCUUUGAUUAUUGAGCAUAUUCCCAGGAAUUACAACGAAGAAGCCAAUAGACUUGCCCAACAUCCUUCCGGGUAUCGGCUGUGUUGACGCCAGAUUUUGACACGAGUAAAAUCGGCGUUAGAAGUGGAAGAAAUUAGGAGAUGCGGCGAGAUACAAGGGCAACGAUUGGAAAUCGGCCGAUUGGUGCUACAGUCAAGGAUCGGUUGGUUGGUGCUGCAGUCAAGGAUCGGCCAAUAGAUGCUACAGACGAGGAUCGGCCGAUUGAUCCUUAGAGUUCCGCCUCGCACGACCCCUGGUUUGGGAUCGGACACGCCCGACCCUCCAAGGGAGGAUCUCCGCCUCGCCCGACCCCUGGUUUGGGAUCGGACGCGCCCGACCCUCCAAGGGAGGAUCUCCGCCUCGCCCGACCCCUGAGGUUUGGGAUCGAACGCGCCCGACCCUCCAAAGGAGGAUCUCCGCCUCGUCCGACCUUAGUUCCCAGGGUCGAAAUGAGUCUGAGCCCUCGAUAUGUGGGUCCUGAUCGGUUACCCCCCUUGCCAAAGAGGUGAUCGGCCGAUUAGGAGGUUGGAAUAGUUGGGCCGAUGUGGGCUCAAGAAGGAUUAUGAAGAUGAAGAGGGGGUCAGCCCAUGAAGCGCGUGAAAAUAGUACGAAUCGUACUUGUAAAUAUUCGUUUUCUGUUUAAAUUUAGGGAUAGAGUUCUAGUCGGAUAAGAAGUCGUUUGUACGGGGCUAUAAAUAGCCACCGUUGUAGAUCUGUAAUCAUCAUCAACUCAAUACAACAAACUACUAUUUCCUCGUACUUACUUUCAAGCAGGCGACUUUACCAACACUUUUUCUCCUUUUUCACGAGUUCGUACGGGUUGGCGGGGCUGCAUCAACUUGACCUCCGGCCGAUCUUGUAAGUUCCGUUUAUCGACUAAAUUCUAAGCUUUAACUUCGGGCGCAUCGCUGUCAUUUCGUUUAGAUUUAUUCAUCAGUUAUCGAUAUUUACUAGAAUUCUAGGUUUUACCUGUUGUUCUAGUUUUAUCACCAAUUAUCCAGCUAGGAAUCGGUAAAUUCGGCUUUCUUUAUACUUCUCUGUCUAAUCUAUUUAUUUUAGCCGAUUAGAUCUGUUCCUAGUGUUGCUACUGUAGCGUUGUUUAGAUUACUCUAGCAGUUUUCUUUAUAAACGUUACCUGGUAAUCGGUUGCACUAUAGCCGAUUUCCUUAUUACGGCAAAUCGGCCGAUUCGCUGAUAAGCUUUCUUGAGAUCGGAACCUUAGCUGAUCGCAACCUCUGGGAACUGACACGUUUAUUUCCUUGCCAAUCAACAGUUCAGAUUGGCUGGCUCGCCGCGCGAACCGUACCAGGGCAAUCACCCGAACAGGAGUUAAGCAGAUUCUCCCGGGUCGUGUGUCCGACGCUGGGAAUUCGGUCAGCUGAUUUCUAGUGCCAACACACUUUUGGCACGCCUAGUGGGGCCAAUACAACCGCCACCAUGUCGAAAGCUGCUGAAGUCUCCGAAGAUAACAUCAUCGAAGUGACAGAGGCAGAUCUCAGGGACGACCAGAAGGAAGAACUAGAGAGGCAGACAGCAUACUACCGGAAGACAUGUCUGCAGUCCUUCAGUCGCACCAGGAGCGAGGAGACUAUCAAAAAGGCUCCGUUUCCAACUCCCCGCCAGAUCACAAUCACCGAGGAUUCGGACAAGAUGUCCGAGAUGGUCCAGCAAUCCGUCUAUCAAGCUUUCAUUGAUCAAUCCCCGGUGCUUUCUAAUACGGUAUACAAUGCCGUCAUCAGCUCCUUGGCUAGUGGUGUAUCUCAAGGGUACCAGGGGCCGGCAUAUGUUCCGCUGAUUAUGGCUCCGAGCAAUGCGGCGACAUGAAGAUCACUGGCGAUGCCCGUUCUUCAUCCACUGUUGGGAAAGCAACCUUAGGUUGCCUUCGGCCGAUAAUUGCCCCGAGUGCAACGGCCCGUAUCGUAACAAUCGGCCGUUCAGCAGGUCUCGCUCCAGAGAUGGGAGAUCAGAGCCGAUCAGCAGGAACUGGCGCGACCAAGACAACCGGCGCCCUCCAGUACGUGAUCGGCUGGGGGGCAGAAGUGACCGGUAUGACCGGUCGGAAGGCAGGCGCAAUGAUGGGCCGGGGGCAGAUUUAAUCGACGUGACCGGCCAGAAAAUAGAGUCAGCGUCCACAGACGACUUGAAUAGAUGGCCGAUGCUCGGGUGUUAGAUGAGAACCCUUUAGGACGCGAACUAGAAUGGGAACGCGCCAGGCCACGAACCAAACCGGUGAACCCCAGGUGGUGCCCCGAUGGAUUGACCAAGUCUCAAAAACGAAGAAUCCAACGUCUCCGCCAGUGGGAACAGCAGGAAGAAGAGCAACAGUACACGACGGACGAGAAGAAAGGCAGGUCUUAGGUAUGGCGCCCCAAAAGAAACGACAGAGGAGGCGACAAAUCAGCAGGCGAUGAAUCGGCAGCCGAUAUCGACAUGGUCUUCAUACUGCCGAUGGAAUUCAUGACUCCUGCCGACCAACAGGACAUGUCAGCAAUAGAAGAGUAGAUGGCGCAAUUGGCUUUGGAGCCAAUGACAGCCACAUUCGAGAAGCCCGAAGAAGACAAACGGCAACACCUGAAAGCGUUGUUUCUUAAAGGGCAUGUCAACGGCCGACCCAUCACCAGAUUACUGGUAGACAGAGGGGCUGCAGUCAACAUCAUGCCGUACGCCAUGUUCCGGAAGCUAGGGAAGAGCAAUGAUGACCUGACCAAGACAGACAUGAUGCUCAAGGACUUCGAGGGCAACGUAUCCCCCGCUCACGGCGCUCUCUGCGUCGACCUCACCAUCGGCAGUAAGACCCUUCCUACUACUUUCUUUAUUAUUAAUGGCAAGGGGUCCUACAACAUGCUACUCGGCCGAGACUGGAUACAUGCAAAUUGCUGUAUCCCAUCUACAAUGCAUCAAUGCCUCGUAUAGUGGGUCGGCGACAACAUUGAGGUGGUCACCGCCGAUUCCGCAUACAGCAUCGCGGCAGCCGACACGCAACAGUGGAGCUGCGAAACCGUCAAGUGCAUAUCCGGGAGAGUAUGGGAUACUGACUUCUUGAAGGUGUCCGAUUUUGGCCUACAGCCGAUCCGAGCAGUCGGCUCUGAGGACUCAGAUUAAAUGGAUCAGUUCACCCGAGAAGAUGGGAAGCUGGGACAUGGGUUCACGUCGGCCGAUUCAUUAGAAAUGAUAGACUUAGGCGAUGGCACCAUACCAAGGCCGACAUAUAUUAGUGCAAAUUUAGAUCCGGAAUACAAAUGUAAACUGACAAGUUUGUUAAGAGAACUUAAGGAUUGCUUUGCUUGGGAAUAUCAUGAGAUGCCCGGAUUAGACCGAUCUAUCGUUGAACAUCGGUUACCCAUAAAGCCAGGGUAUCGGCCGUAUCAACAGCCUGCACGGCGGUGCAAUCCUAAAAUCCUACCGGACAUAAAGGCCAAAAUAACGCGGCUAAUCAAAGCAAAAUUUAUUCGGCAAUGCCGUUAUGCCGAAUGGAUCUCCAACAUUGUACCAGUAUAUAAGAAGAACGGAAAGUUACGCGUAUGCGUCGAUUUCAGGAACCUCAAUCAGGCCACACCAAUGGACGGAUACCCCAUGCCGACGGCUGAUGUACUGAUAGAUGCCGCCGCGGGACACAAGGUUAUUAGUUUCAUGGAUGGAAACGCUGGGUACAAUCAGAUACUUAUGGCCGAAGAAGACAUAUCUAAAACGGCCUUCAGAUGCCCGGGUCACCUUGGUUUAUUCGAGUGGGUGGUAAUGACUUUCGGCUUGAAAAAUGUCGGCGCUACGUAUCAGAGAGUCAUGAACUACAUAUUCCACAAACUUAUCGGCAUACUAGUAGAAAUCUACAUCGACGACGUCGUAGUCAAGUCAAAAGGACACCAGGAGCAUCUGGCCGAUUUACGACAGGUGUUGGAAUGCACUAAGAAACAUGGGCUGAAGAUGAACCCGAAUAAGUGUGCCUUCGGCGUAUCCGCCGGACAAUUCUUAGGAUUCAUGGUGCACGAGCGGGGAAUAGAAAUCAAUCAGAAGACUAUAGCGGCCAUCAACAAAAUUGUGGCCCCGCAGAAUAAAACUGAGCUGCAAUCUCUAAUCGACAAGAUGAAUUUCAUCAGGAGGUUCAUAUCUAAUUUGUCUGGGCGAAUCCAAGCCUUCACACCAUUAUUAAAGUUGAAGCCCGACCAGGAGUUCGUAUGGGGGGAAGAGCAACGCAAGGCAUUGGAAGAUAUCAAGCAGUACUUGGUCUCACCACCGGUAUUGGUCCCUCCUCAAACUGGUAAGCCGUUUAAACUAUAUUUAUCAGCCGAUGAACGAGCUAUUGGGUCGGCUCUGGUCCAGGAGUUCGAGGGAAAGGAACGAGUAAUUUAUUAUGUCAGUAGAAGACUUCUGGACGCCGAAACAAGGUAUCCUCCAGUGGAGCGGUUGUGCCUAUGCCUUUACUUCUCAUGUACCAAACUCAGGCACUAUUUGCUAUCAGCGGAAUGUGUGGUCGUAUGCAAGGACGACGUGGUAAAAUACAUGCUGUCACUGCCGAUUUUGAAAGGAUGGAUCGAAAAAUGGAUCUUGGCUUUGUCGGAGUUUGACCUUCGAUAUGAAUCGGCAAAAGCCGUUAAGGGUCAGGUCAUGGCCGAUUUCGUUGCCCAGCACUGCGGGCCAGAGGCUACCUUCGUAGAACCAGUACCUUGGACCUUAUACUUUGAUGGAUCGUCAUGUGGGGCCGGAUCAGGAAUCGGCAUCGUCCUCAUAUCGCCUCGGGGGGCAAGCUAUGAUUUCUCUCUACCGAUAGAAGCAUCCACCACUAACAAUCAAGCAGAGUACUGAGCUGUACUGAAGGGAUUACAAUUGCUAAGGGAAGUCAAAGCUGAUUCCGUCGAAAUUUUUGGGGAUUCCAUGCUUAUCGUGGAUCAGUUAACAGGGAAAUCCGAGUGCAAGGACGAUGUAUUGAGGAUUUAUUACGAAGAUUGCCUCCUGCUUCUGAAAGAAUUCAAGUCGGCAGUUAUCGAGCACAUCCCAAGGAAUCACAACGAGGAUGCCAACAAGCUCGCCCAACACGCAUCUGGGUAUCGGCCGAUUCAAGGCGCCUUGGCUCUAGAGCUCGCGGCCAAUGACUGGCGAAAGGAGAUUGCCGAUUACCUGAAAGAUCCGUCUAAGAAAGUGGAUCGGCGGGUAUGUUUUCAUGCUACCAAAUAUGUGCUACUGGAAGACGACUUGUUCUACCGAACAAUUGAUGGCGUCCUACUCAAGUGUCUAGGAACGGAGGAGGCUAAGACUCUGAUGGGAGAAAUCCAUGAAGGAGUGUGUGGAGCCCACCAAUCGGCACAUAAGAUGAAAUGGAUGAUUAGGAAUAAUGGGUAUUACUGGCCGACGAUCCUCGAAGAUUGCUUCAAAUAUUAUAAAGGAUGUCAGGAUUGUCAGAAAUUCGGGAAUGUCCAACGUGCGCCCGCAUCGGCCAUGAAUCCCAUUAUCAAACCAUGGCCGUUCAGAGGUUGGGGGAUAGACCUCAUCGGCCAAAUUUAUCCUCCGUCAAGCAAAGGGCACAAGUUCAUUCUGGUGGCCACUGAUUAUUUCACCAAGUGGGUGGAGGCAAUUCCGUUAAGGGCCGUGACAUCGGCUGCUAUGGUUGACUUCGUAAGAGACCAUAUCGUCUACCGUUUCGGCAUCCCCCAGACUAUCACGACCGAUCAAGGGACAAUGUUUACAUCAGGAGAAUUCGAGGAGUUCACAGCCGACAUGGGAAUCAAAUUAUUAAACUCCUCUCCGUAUUAUGCCCAAGCUAAUGGCCAGGUCGAAUCUUCCAACAAGGGGAUAAUUAAGUUAAUCAAGAGGAAGAUAGAGGAGCAGCCGAAAAAGUGGCAUCUAUGUCUGACUGAAGCUCUAUGGGCAUACAGGAUGGCUUGCCAUGGGGCCACUAAGAUGUCCCCUUAUCAGUUGGUGUACGGUCACGAGGCAGUACUACCAUGGGAGUUGAGGGCAGGAUCGAGACGCACUUCGCUCCAGGACCAGUUAGCGGCCGACGACUACUCCUCACUCAUGAAAAGGGAACUUGAUGACUUGGCUGGCCAACGAUUGAGAGCUUUGAUAAGCAUCAAAGAAAACAAGAAGAAAGUGGCCAGGUGGUAUGAUAAGAAAGUCAAAGUCAAACAAUUCUCUCCGGGGGACCUGGUAUGGAAGUUAGUGUUGCCGAUCGGGUCGAAAGAUCCUAAAUUCGGUAAGUGGUCCCCUACGUGGGAAGAGCCGUAUAAAAUCGGCAGAUGUGCUCCAGGAAACGCUUAUAUUCUGGAAACAAUCGAAGGAGAGAAGAGUUUACUAGGGCUUUGAACGGAAGAUACUUGAAAAGGUACUACCCUAGUAUAUGGGUCGGAGCAUAAGGAUCGACCAUGAUGAACAACACACAGCCAAUACAAAAGGAUUCGUCUAGAGAAAAAAACGUAAUCGUCCAAAUCGGCCGAUGUAUUUCAUUCGGUACGGACGGUGGGUUACACGGCCGACAAGGUACAAGUUGCCCUUAGAACAAAAAAAAAUUAAUCACGCUUUUUCUUAAGCUCUCUCUCAGCCCGACCUAGUUCUAUCAGAAGACGGAUGUACUCUUCUUUUAUCUCUUUCAUCGAAGCCUCCGCUUCGACUUGACGGGGGAGAGGGUGACUCCGGUCCAUGGCCGGGCGUGAUGUUCCUACUGCUGCAUCUUCAAGGACGAUUUGAUGAGGAAGCGGAUGACUUCUGUCGGCUUGAGGUCGCCGGUGGUCGUUGCUGUCCAGAAAGUCCCAGAUCCAUCGGAUGUCGGCAGGGACGUGCUCUUGGAGUUCGUCGCGAUGAGCUCUGAUUAAAUCCUUAUCUUCUUGCGACAACGGUUCAUCGGAGUGUACAAGUCCGAUGGCUCGUUCGAGUUCGGGGCUAAGGCGCCGUGGCUGCGGAAAGCAACAAUAUACAUAUAGCUGCCGAAAAGGUGAUUCCCUUCAGAAGAGCUAAACUAAGAAAGAGAAUGAAGGCAAAUCUUUUACCUGAUUAACGGAGGAAGAGGUAGAGGAUGGAGAAGACAUGACUGAAAGGCGCACCGACGUGAACAGGUCGAGGAAGAUGAAGCCGAGUUAGAAAGGUACUCUCGGAACGGUCACCUAGGCCGGUGUUUAUAGGAAAGGAAGGCAUGGAUGUUUGGUAAGACGCGUCCCAUCGGGAGUGUGAAAGGUAAUAAAUAAGGGGGCGUCGCGAAGGACGGUCAAAGGGAUCAUUAAAUGUUCGUACAAGAACUGCCAGCACUUUUACAGGUCACCCAGAAGGGCAUCGAUAGCUGCGAUCGCUCGACGCCGGAUCUGAUCGGCAGAGUCCAGGACCCGUUGGUCAUCCUCUGCCGAUCCGGGGACUUCUAACAUAUGGCGGUGGAGUUUGAGGGCCUCGUGAGCCAGAUGCUGCCUCUCUCGUUUCAGAUCGGCAAUGACAGAAGGGAGUUCCUGAAGCCUCUUCUCUUCGGCGUCUAUUGCUUUGGUCACCUGCUCCAUCUCCUUGGCAAGCUCUGCCCUUCGGCGUUUGAGGCGAUCUAUCGUGCCGACGAUCCCCGGGCGAGAGUCUUCCAGAAAGUGAAUCCGUUGAUGCACCUCUUGAGCUUGACGCUUGUACGUGUCUUCUUCUUCACGAGUUUUGGUCAACUUGACGCGAUCGGCCAUGUGGCGCAGGGCCCUAAAGACUGGAAUCCUCAUUGACUCGAUAUAUGCAGCUGGCGCCAAGGCCUCUUCCGCUUCUUCUGGUACUCGCCCGCUGACGUCACCAAAAAGUUGUUGAAUCAGCGAAGCGUCUUCUACCAAUCGGCCGAUGUCCUCUUGAAGAAGGGAUCGGAUGCUUGCGAGUUUGGCACGGACGUCAUCAGGAACGGAGCUCAAAGUGACCUGGCGAGAGGCGACUUCCUCAUCAUCGGAGAGUGCGACCGCAAACGAGAAAAGGCUGUUGUUGGGGGUGUCCUGUUCCUGAAAAAUAGUGAGUCAAGAAGAAGAACAAAUCAGCCGAUGAUGAUAGCAAAUCGGCUGAGUAAGGGUGAGAAAUCUCUUACCUCCUUGAAACGGAUUUCUUCAAACUGCGUUUGGGAGGCUGUUAUCCUCGAUUCAGGGGCUGGUACCAUUGGUUCGUCAGAAGCUGAAGACUCCACCAUGAUUGGUGCUUUGCUCGGGCCAGCUUCCCGAAAGAUGACCAUUGGUUGGUUAGGUGGGGCGCUAAGCGUACCGGUGACCUGUGUCAAAAGAUUGAAUAAGAAUAUUAUCCAAAUACUAGAAAAAUCGGUUGAAGAGUAGUAUACCUCGGCAGACGGAAGCGUGGGCGUGUUGAUGACCGAUUGGGUUGCUGCCGAUUGUUGUGAGUCCACAGAAGUGAUUUGUGUAGUCUAAAAUAAGAUGAGUCAGUAUAGAGAUGGCAAUCGGUAGGAUCAAACAACAAGUUUACCUGCAUGGCCUCCACCAGUAAUGAUGCAGCGGCCGCCCCAGCUUGCGUGACGACUUGAGUAUCUACUUCUCCAGCAGCUGGAAGGGGCAAUGUGGCCGAAGUUUCUGCCGAUGUGAUCGUAGGAGGGUCGGCCGGUUCUGUACGAGCUCGCACUCGGCGACUGGUCUUCUUGGUAACCUUCUUCUGCGCCUGCUUCGAUCGGCCGGCAAUCACAUCCACGGAAGGGGCAUCGUAGCCGAUAAGGGGGAAGAUGGUGUAUAGGUGAUGGUCCUCUAUCGGCCGGCCACUCCGACUGUGUGUUGGGGGAACGCAGUUUUCAGACUGAAGCAACAGCAAGAUGUUAGUGUACAUAUUUAACCGCAUUAAUAAAGGAAUGAAAAUCAGUUAGGGAAAAAAAAUACCUCGGUGUUCGGAUCGAUGUUGGCUGGAUCCAGGAGGUUGCAGUAUGUCGAUGCGGAGGCACAGAAUAGGUACUGUUUUCAUUCGGCCCACCAUAGCUUGAAUGGUUGGACAACAAAGGGGGCUACUAUCCAGUCAUUCAAGUCUAUGGUACUGGAGUCUGGUAUCCGGUCUCGCAGCCGACUAUAGUCAAGACCCUUGGUGAGCUCAUCUCUGAACUUUGCUCGGCCGACGAAGUAUGCCUGAAUCGGCAGUUGACCCAUGCCGAAUUGCCGAGCUGCAACGGAGGGAUUGUAGAAUUCAUAUGUAGGGGCAUCCUUUCCUGAGAAGAAGUUGGCCGGUAAGAUCCCCGGUUUAAUUAGUUCAUCUGUGAGAUCUUCGUCGAAUCAGCCGGUGGUUGAGUCGAAGCAAGAAGGGAGUUCAAAGAUUGGGUCAUCUCUCCAAUAAGGAAACCAGACGGUUGCAUCUUCAUUGAAGCCGUUAUAAAAACACUGGAAGUAUUCGGCCACCUUGGUAGCAGAGUACGAGCAACCAGAGAAGGCCGAUGCCGCUUCGCCGAAAGACAUACACCGGCGUCGGACAGUGAGAUUCUCUGCCGAUUCGACGCUGGGGAAUGUCAUGUGUUCCACUCGCUGCUGAGAGAUCUCGCUCAUGUACAAGUUCAGCCAUAAGUUAAUGAACCACCAGGGUCCACCUGGGUUUCCAAUUGGCUACCCUUGGGAUAGCUUGAUGCCGAUUUGGUGAAGCAUGUGGUAGGCUGCUCCCAGUAAGUGCUUUCCAAGAGGAACAGAAGUCCCUAUUGAUAAUGCUUCGGCCAGAGCUUGGGUAUUGGUAGAUGGACCAGCUGCUCUCCCACAGAAGAAGUGCUUCUCUAGCCACAUCAUCAGGAAGGCCGUGUGCUCUCUGUUGUCGACAGAUCCGGCCCUUUUGUUGCAUCUGAUGAAACCUUUCCACCUGCCGAUUCCCCUUGUGUCCAGCCGAUGUGAUGUUGCGGUUAUAAGGCGGAAAGGGGUGUCCGGGGAAGAAAUAUCCAGGCCGGUCAGGAAGACUACAUCGGCCAAUGUGGGGGUCAUGGGUCCGUGUCCAAACAGGAAUGCGUUGAGAGCAUUGGACCAGAAGUAAGAAGCUGCCACCACUAAUGGCUCAUUCCGUUCCAUUUGGGACAAAGAUAGAUCGAUGCAUUGGCCAAUUUUGAGCUCGUCCCAUUGGACCUUCUUGGAAGCGGUUAUCCGCUGGUACCAUUCCCUCCAACUGGGAGUUUCGUUCGGCCAAGACCUAAAGGUACUCAACCAGUGAUCUAGGUCCAUAGUUGAUUGUUUGAAGGGGAUCCUAUGGGUUUUCCAAAUUGAUUAAGUCGGUUGGAUCUGGAUUUCCCAUGGGUCCAAGACAGAUAAGGCCGAGGUUUUCUGUGAGACGAAUGGUGAUGCGAUGCCUAACCGCCUAAAAAGGAAAAGGGGGUGCGAGGGUAAGAAAUAGAUCUAAAGUACAUGCAUUACUAAUAAGGGAAAGUUUCGGUAAUGACCUCCGGGAUGAAGCUCCUCGUAAUCGGCGGAGUCGCCGGUGCAGCUGCAGACGAUGAAGCUGCCAAUGGGAUCUCGGAUGAAGCUUCAACUUUCGCCAAUGGAGCUCCUUCUUCCGUCGAUGGAGCCGUCGUUAUCGCUACUGGAACCUCCGCCGAAGGCACCAUUUCUGGAGCUUCGCGCAUUGGUGAGGUGCCUGAAGGUGCCGCCAUUGGAAAAGUAGGAGGCAAUGCGAAAGGAAGGAGGCGCUGGAGAAUUGGUGGACUAAGGAAAGUGUUGGAGGAAGAAGAAAGCCUGUGCACUGAAGAAGAUGGACAUGAGCUCGUAAGGAGUACGGGAUGUGCUGAUAUUUAAAGAACGUCUGAGAAGGGGUAAAAGUGGAAUUUUUACCGCGCUGGCGUUUUGAGUUUUUCGGGAGUAGUGGUUGUCGUGGGCACCCGUUUCGAAAAGAUUGCAAUCAUCAGGUUGGAGACCGCGAAAUGGAAGGAUGUUUUCAUUGCGUCUGUUUCGGAUGAGAAGUUGAAAAGAAUUUUGAAGUAAAGACUAUGUUUUACUCCGAAACUGGGAGGCAUGUGUUGACGCCAGAUUUUGACACGAGUAAAAUCGGCGUUAGAAAUGGAAUAAAUUAGGAGAUGCGGCGAGAUACAAGGGCGACGAUUGGAAAUCGGCCGAUUGGUGCUACAGUCAAGGAUCGGUUGGUUGGUGCUGCAGUCAAGGAUCGGCCAAUUGAUGCUACAGAUGAGGAUCGACCGAUUGAUCCUUGGAGUUCCGCCUCGCCCAACCCCUGGUUUGGGAUCGGACGCGCCCGACCCUCCAAGGGAGGAUCUCCGCCUCGCCCGACCCCUGGUUUGGGAUCGGACGCGCCCGACCCUCCAAGGGAGGAUCUCCGCCUCGCCCGACCCCUGAGGUUUGGGAUCGGACGCGCCCGACCCUCCAAAGGAGGAUCUCCGCCUCGUCCGACCUUAGUUCCCAGGGUCGAAAUGAGUCUGAGCCCUCGAUAUGUGGGUCCUGAUCGGUUACCCCCUUGCCAAAGAGGUGAUCGGCCGAUUAGGAGGUUGGAAUAGUUGGGCCGAUGUGGGCUCAAGAAGGAUUAUGAAGAUGAAGAGGGGGUCAGCCCAUGAAGCGCGUGAAAAUAGUACGAAUCGUACUUGUAAAUAUUCGUUUUCUGUUUAAAUUUAGGGAUAGAGUUCUAGUCGGAUAAGAAGUCGUUCGUACGGGGCUAUAAAUAGCCACCGUUGUAGAUCUGUAAUCAUCAUCAACUCAAUACAACAAACUACUAUUUCCUCGUACUUACUUUCAAGCAGGCGACUUUACCAACACUUUUUCUCCUUUUUCACGAGUUCAUACGGGUUGGCGGGGCUGCAUCAACUUGACCUCCGGCCGAUCUUGUAAGUUCCGUUUAUCGACUAAAUUCUAAGCUUUAACUUCGGGCGCAUCGCUGUCGUUUCGUUUAGAUUUAUUCAUCAGUUAUCGAUAUUUACUAGAAUUCUAGGUUUUACCUGUUGUUCUAGUUUUAUCACCAAUUAUCCAGCUAGGAAUCGGUAAAUUCGGCUUUCUUUAUACUUCUCUGUCUAAUCUAUUUAUUUUAGCCGAUUAGAUCUGUUCCUAGUGUUGCUACUGUAGCGUUGUUUAGAUUACUCUAGCAGUUUUCUUUAUAAACGUUACCUGGUAAUCGGUUGCACUAUAGCCGAUUUCCUUAUUACGGCAAAUCGGCCGAUUCGCUGAUAAGCUUUCUUGAGACCGGAACCUUAGCCGAUCGCAACCUCUGGGAACUGACAUGUUUAUUUCCUUGCCAAUCAACAGGUCAGAUUGGCUGGCACGCCGCGCGAACCGCACCAGGGCAAUCACCCGAACAGGAGUUAAGCAGAUUCUCCCGGGUCGUGUGUCCGACGCUGGAAAUUCGGUCAGCUGAUUUCUAGCGCCAACAGGCUCAUUUAUGUCGCCUGACACGCGAAUAUGCACUUUAACCAAGUCAACCUGGUCGACCGUCGGAUUUCAUCCGAUGAACCACUUACACAGGAUCAAGAAGCAUCGCUCAAACGAAGGUGAGUAGCACAGAGGUUACAACAUUCCAUUAUGACAACUUAGUUCCACAAUUUAUUACAUCAGAGUUUCAGAAAUUCAAACAAGUUGCAAGGUUCGAAAAGUCGGAUAAAACAAGCGAAAACUAAACGUCGAUACAGGAUAUCAUGACGAAGUUGAUCAUGACAUCAAAAAUCCCUACCCUCACCGUCCGAGGAGGGAUCCCACUCGAUUGUCCAGCCCGGAGGGAGCUGGGUAGGCCAAGUGGUGCCAGCAACCAAACUAUUGACAUGACCUGAAAAGAUUAAGCCAUAACAAGGCUGAGCAACUAAUACUCAGCAAGACUGACCCGUCGAGUGAAAAGCUUUACCAAGACCUAGACAUGCAAGGCUUUCUGGCUCUGGGAUUACUUUGCCAAAAGCAUCUACAGUCGGUCCUUACUUUCAAUAUUUUAGCUUAAGUUCUACGUUCUUUAACCAGUCUAGAUUAGCAACUUAUACUAAACAAGCAUAAUUUCCAAGUAGUUAAAUAACAAGCAUCAACUUAAUCUCAUAAUCAUGUUUCAUCGUUACUCAGUGCAGAAUAGCGAUCAAGUAGUCCCAAACUGUGAGAGACAGAUGAAUCGAUUCGAAUUUAUUAACCAUGCAUGGCGAACCUAAUCUCACGACAUCCGCGCACCACGAAGGGUCGCUUCAUUUGUCAGCCGUCCCCAUCGAUCCCUUAGGCACGUGUCAGGGCCAAACUGCCUUUGGCGUGCAAUGCUCCACAGUCCCGACCUCUGUCGUACUGUGACCGCCACUGCACCCACAUGAUGCACCAUGGGAACGACGUUCCAAGGACAGCAGGAGUAUAAGCCACGUCCCAGUUCAGUCAGGUACUAGGCUUCCCCAUCCCAGACUAGGUAUGAGAUUAGUACUUUCAAACACUUGAUCACGAACGCUGACACGUUUCAACCUUAGAUCAAUUUCCUUUAGACAGACGGGGAAAACCACCAAGUAUCGAACAUAAGCCCGACCCCGUCCGUCAUCCUUAUAGUUGCAACAUAAAUAAACAUUCAACUCCUAUAACUCGCGAGUGAUAGGAAAUCACUCGACUUUUACUGAAACCUAAUAAGCAUUGCAACUACUCGACUUUAGCAACUAGUAUUCAAACAAGGUACUAAGUUCAUGCAUCUACGGUUUCAAUCAACUCCUACACACGUAAAUGCGCAAACAUAAACAUCAACAUGUUGCAUAAAGUAAAACAGGGAAGUCAUGCACCGGGGCUUGCCGUCAGGAAGAGUUAGCGGGUCCUCGGGGUCUUGAUCCGGCUCAGGCUCGCCUUCCAAGUGGUGAAGCUCCGCAGCGGGGUCUUCCUCCGGUGUCGGGUGGAGCUCGUAGGUUCCAUCGGCGAGAUUUGCUUCUAUACGACAUGCAUAUGCAAAAGUUUAGUUGGACUCACGCGUUUAUUCAACGACACAAGGCUUGGCUUAAGACAAGGAGUUGCAACAGCCACAUUCACUUUGACGAGGUUCAACUUUCAUGCAACUUCAAACGAAUGUGGUCGGUUUAAACUUGAGUUCGAGUUGAAUGGCGAUUGUGUACAUAUAUAGUUUUCUUACACUUAGAGUUGCAUAAAGAGAAUGAAAGGUCGUGUUUGGGUGGUUUGGGUGCAUUAGGAUAGUUACUUACUUCUGAAUGUUUUUAUGUACCUCUUUCAAUUUCCACUUAUUUAUCGUAUUAGAAUUUGUGCUUUCCUUUUAUUCCUUUAGGUUGAUUAAUUAACCAAAAUGACUUCAUAUCCAAACAGCAGCUAAAGGCACUGAUAAAAUUACAACACCUCACUUAAGCCAUAGCUGGGUUACUCUAAAAUUUUGGGGGCCAUUGGAUGACUUAAAAAGGAAUUACAUGCAUUUUAUUAUUAAAGGUAAAAUGAGCUUAACUUUUUCUAUCUUCAAAGUUACUAUGCAACAGAGGGUGAAACUUAACCAGUGUGUUAAGGGUAUGUUACAGGAUCUUUGGCGAAUUUUUCAUAAUUUUUGAAGAAGGUUAACUAUUUACUCUAUUUCCUUUUUAAUUAAACAUGCUUAGCAAGGAAGGUGUUUUUUCUUUCCGAAUUGCACAACAAUUUACAUUUUUCCUGCAAACUUCACAGCAAAACAAAAUUAACCCAACUAGUUUCACAUUUUUUUGAGCUCUGGAUCAAAACGUAUGCAAAAAGGAAGAAUUAAUCUUAGAUUCCCAAAUUAAAGUCAAAACAAUGACUUAAAGUGCUAGACCAGAGCCCUAACCAUUUUUCUGAGCUUCUACACAUAGAAACAAGCAUCACAGAGUUGGUUUUACAUUUUUCCCACUUUUCUUCUAUUUAAUAGGAUUAAAAAGGCCUAAACCAUGAUUAAAAGCAUAUGAUAUUAUUUACAACAGUAACAUGAGCAAACUUAUUUUUCUUAGGAACUAGAUAGAGCAAGGAUUCCAACAAAAGUGGUUUGGUAUUUUUAUGAUUUUUCUACGAUUUACUGGGCAUUUACAAAGUUCAACCAUAUUUCUACCUAUUAUUUAAAAGAAAAGCCGUGGCAAACUUGCAGGUUAGCCCCUGGGUCUAUGGGUUAACUACGCAGAGGUCCCUGAGUUUUGCGCCCAGGCCCCUGGAAAGAAUGGGGAUGAUGCAAUGUAGUCCCCAGGGCGCGCGCGGCGGCGGCGAGGAAAUCCCCGGCGGUUCGUCGGCGGGGAUGGGGCAACAAGUGGUCGGAGGGGUGCGGGGGCUCACCUGAGCUCGGUUUGGUGGGGUUGGGGCGACGGAGAUGGUCGGUAGGGAUCAAAACACGGCGGCGGCGACAGAGCUUGGCUGGUGGCGGUGCAGGCGUCGUUCCGGCGCACUGGCGGCGUCGGGGAGGCCACGGGCUGCUCGGAGACGUGCGCGGAGGGGGGGCGAAGUGGGCGGCGAAGUUGCCGGAGUACGGGGUGGCGCGGAGGGGUGAGCUCCACGGGAGCUUAGCGGCGGCGCUGAGAAGGAAGCAGAGGCGUGGUUGCGAGCGGUGGCAAAGGGUGGCAUUGCCGGUGAGGGGGACCCUUUUAUAGGGCAGCGGUGGAGCGGAGGGUCGAGGUGGGGCUCCGGUGGAGGAAGGAUAAGGCCGGGAGCGGUGCGUGCGCGAGCGAGGCGGCCAUUGGCCAGCGGUGCCAUUGGGCAGGGGAGGCGGAGCUCCGGGUGGUCUCUGGCCGCGAUUGGCCUCGAGCGAUGCGUGUCUGAGGCCUCCGGUCUGUCGGCGGGCGAAGCGGAGGGCCACCGCGGGGGUUGGGCGAGCGGGCGGAGGCGCGGGACGUCGUUGGCGUGGUGGCUUCUCCAGCGGGUGGGCGAAGCGCGGUUGGGCAGAGCAGAGCCGCGGCAGAGGGAAGGGCACGCGCGCGGCCGACGGUUGGCCAGCCCGGCGUUCGCCCCGUCUUGUCGCAGGCGCGGGUUGGGCGCCGUGGCUCUCACCUUAUCGUUGUCUCGCCGGGGAUAGGGCGCCGGUGAGCUGCCGGUGGCCAGCGGCCACGAGGCACGCGGUGCGCGGGCGAACAUGCCCUGGCGCGCGGGCGUUGAGGCCCCUUCGGGCAGUAAGCCCGACCAGCUUUGAGAGAUCCUAUCUCAAGAUUUUGCAACACAACUUCCAAAACUCUUCUAAACAAACUUGUUCAACUCUGGACGUAGUUCAAACUUGGUUUAAGGUGCUGGUUUAGAUUGUGAAAGGAUUUGGAGAUAUCUCAUGCCAAAGUUUGCCAAAAAUAUGGAAAUCCAGACUUAGCCAAUUUUGGCCGGAGAGGUGGAAUUUCAGGAACUUAGCUAUGUUUGAGUCAACUUUAGGGCAGCUUCCAAGUUGAAUUAGACAGAAGUGUUAAUAGAGGAGUUGCUCUCCAAACUGAGGACUUCAACUUCUAUUUAGGGUAUUUCUGGAGUUUAGUUCAGAAAUUUGGAGGAACGCCCUCGCCAAGAGGUGCACUCUGAGCAGUUUUCCAGACUUAGCGUUGUGGUGCUCAGGGGCUGAGUUGACUGCUUUGCUCAACUUUGACCAAGAUUUUGAACAGGUUCUGGUUCGAUUUGGACCUGGGUCAUUGUAACAAACUUGGAAAACACUUGAGGUAUUACAACCUUUAUUAAGAGCCUGACUUGAGUUUAGAUAUGAAAUCGUGAGAUAAAGGCUUGCAAAGUUGGAGGAAAACUUGAAUUCCACGACUUGGAGGUUUAUAGGGUUCUUUAUUAUUCCGGUUUUGAUUCCUGUUUUUGACUUCCUCCCACUCCGAAUUAGCCAAAGUGACUUUAACAAAUAUUGUUUGAAAUUAAAAGUGUUACAACUCUUAUUUGGGCAAAAUUUUAAGUUUGUAUAUAAAAUCUCAAGUUUUAUUUUAAACUCCAUAAAGAGCUUCUUAGGGUUAAAAUGGUCAUUUCACUUCCUUUACUUAGUGAUUAACCACUGGUUUAUAUUUAAAGCACUUAAUUUAGGUAGAGUUGUUACAAGUAUCCACUCACUACUUUACCAAAUGGGUGCAGGCAGUCCCUCUGAAGACCGUGACGUUGGCCGUCAUGAUUGAAUUCAUAAGCGAGCACAUUAUCUAUUGGUUUGGUAUUCCUCAGACUGUUACGACCGAUCAGAGAACAAUGUUUACUUCAGGAGAGUUUGAGGAGUUCACUUCCGAUAUGGAAAUUAAGUUGUUAAAUUCUUCUCCAUAUUACGUUCAAGCUAAUGGUCAGACCGAAUCGUCCAAUAAAGGGAUAAUCAAGUGUAUCAAGAGGAAGGUAGAGGAGCAACCAAAGAGAUGGCACAUGACUUUAAGCGAGUCUUUGUGGGCCUACAGGAUGGCCUGCCACGGCGCUACUAAGGUGUCUCCUUAUCAAUUAGUGUAUGGAUAUGAGGCGGUGCUCCCUUAGGAAUUGAGGAUGGGGUCUAGACGCACGUCGAUUCAAGAUUAGUUGACAGCCGACGAUUAUUCUCUCCUUAUGAAAGGGGAGCUUGAGGAUUUGGUGGGUCAACGAUUGAGGGCCUUGAUCAGUAUUGAAGAGAAUAAGAAAAGACUUGCCAAGUGGUAUGACAAGAAGGUCAAGGUCAAGCAGUUCUCGCAAGGGGAUUUGGUAUGGAAAUUGGUAUUGCCGAUAGGGUCUAACCAUCCCAAAUACGGCUAGUGGUCGCCUACUUGGGAAGGGUCGUAUAAAUCGAUCGAUAUGUGCCAGGAAAUGCAUACGUAUUAGAGACCAUCGAGGGAGAGGAAUUUACAAGAGCCUUAAAUGGGAGAUAUUUGAAAAGAUACUAUCCCAGCAUAUGAGUGGACGCGUAGCCGAUGAUAUAGUGUAUCGAGUCGUUAUGGCCGAUUCCUAUUGACUCGUGUUUAUAUAGCCGAUGCAGGGAGGCAUCGCCUUGAGGACGAAACCUCUAAUCAAAUUGGCCGAUUAUUAUUCGGUACGGUGAUUGGAUACAUGGCCAACAUGGUACAAGUCGCCCUUAGACCAAAAGUACCAAUACAUCUAUCGGGUUACAAUAUGAUUAACUGCAUUUCAACUGGGCUUUGUUUUUAUUGAUCUCUCUUUGGACCCGGCCUAGUUCUAUUAAGAGACGGGUGCUCUUUUCCUCCCUAUCCGCCAUGGCAUCUUUGAGAGCGACCUGGCAGGGUAGCUGAUGACUCCUCUCAAUUGGCGGCUGAGGUGGCUCCCUGGAGCUGUUGGCUUCGAUGUGAUCCACGAUCUUCUUAAUGUGGGUCGGAAGAUGGUCUUUAAGCUCCUCACGGUGGGCUUUGAUCAGGUCUUGGUCCACCUGCAUCAGUGGUUCCUCAGAGUGCAUAAUUUCGAUAACUCGCUCAAGAUCAGGGCUGAGCCGGGUCGGCUGGACAAACAGCGGGCAAUCAGUUGUCGAAAAGAAUUGGUCAAGGAGCGCAAGGCUGAUCUCAUACCUCAUUGACGGGGGAAGAAGAAGACAUCUUGGCGCCCGGUUAGGGAUCUGAAAAUGGUCGAGCAGAGUGUAGAAGGAUGGAUGAGAUACGAGUGCCUCUGGGAGGAAUGUAGGGACCCCAUAUUUAUAGGAGAAAAGGUAAGGGGCAACGGUUGGCAAAGGCAUCUAUUCAAAGCAGAUGAAUGUUGAGCUAAAAGCUGCGAAGAGGAAACGUUCAAGUCCGUAUUCACACAAUGAUGGCAAAAGGGGCAUUAAAUGUUUGUGCAGAGGUGUUCAAAAGAUAAUUCAAUGUUUUGAUACAUUCAUUCAAGAAGAAUAUUAAUGGCCGCGAUUGCCUACUGGCGGAUCUGAUCCGCUGAAUCUAGAACUCGUUGGACAUCUUCGGCUGAUCCAAGAAUUUCUAGCAUGUUGCGAUGAAGCCGGAUGGCCUCAUGCGCAAGGGUUUGCCUCUCCUGCUUCAGAUCAGCGAUGACGGUCGUGAGAUCAUGAAGAUUAUUCUUUUUGGCGGUUAUAGCCUUUGUCACCUACUCCAUCUCCUUGGCAAUCUCUGCCCUAUGCUAUUUGAGACGGUCUAUUGUGCCGACGAUGUCUGGGCGAGAAUUUUCGAGUACGCCGAUUCGGUGAUGUACCUCUUGAGCUCGGUGUUUGUAGGAAUCCUUCUCUUCACAUGGCUUUGCCAGCUUGGCAUGAACGGCCAUGUGCCGCAGGGCUCUGAACACCGGGAUUUGCAUUGACUCGAUGUAUGUAGGAGGUGCAAGAGCUUUUUCUACAUCCUUCAGGACUCGGCCUUUUAUUUCGCUGAAGAUUUGCCAAAUCGGCGAAGCGUCUUCCACCAAUCGGCCGAUGUCAUCUUGAAGAAGUGCUCGGAUUCUCUGGAGCUUUGCACGUACUUCUUCCGAAAUUGAACCUGGAGCCACUUGUCGAGAGGCUACCUCUUCAUCAUCAGAAACAGCGAUCGCAAAUGAAAAGAGGCUGUUAUUGGGCGUAUCUUGUUCCUAUAAAAGUAAGAGAGGAAGGAACGGAUUAGCCGACAGUAGUGGGAAAUCGGUCGGAUUGGAUGUCGAAGGCCCUUACCUGUUUAAAAUGAAUUUUCUUCUGUUUGUGUUUGGGGGAUUGCUACCCUUGUCUCAGGAAUCAGCAUGGUUGGCUCGUCAGAAGAAGAAGACUCGACGGUGAUCGACGUUGUGUUUGGACCGGCUUCCUGAAAGUAACAAAAGGAGAGUCUCUAUAAGUAUGAAGCAAUAGUUAGAUCUAAGGAUGAGUACCAGUUACUUUACCUCUGUGAGUCGUCCGGCCGAUGACUGUUGGAAAGGUAUGAUUGAUGUACCCAGAGUGGCCUACAUUAGAAAUCGGUCAUUUUUGACUAAGGAAUAAGAGACUUGAGUAAGAUGUAUGUUCUUUACCUCAGCUGCAAGGAUUGCUGGUGGUUCGGUCUCUGCUUGGGAUGCGACCGAUUGCUGUGAGGUUUGCUCCGAAAGAAUUUGCGCAGCCUAACAAAAAGUGGAAAUUAAUACUGAUAGUAUACUUGGAGAAAUGUGAAGCAUAUAAAGUUACCUGAACAUCUUUUACCAAUAAGGAUGCAGCUGCUGAUCCGGCUUCCGUAGCGGCUUGGGGGUCGACCUCCUGGGCGAUCGGCAGAGUUGGUGUGGCUGAAGACUCGGCUGGUGGCACCGCCGAUUGAUCGGCCGGUUCUAUACGGGCGCGCACCCGGCGGCUUGUCUUCUUUGAAGAGGAUAUCUUCAUCUUCUGCUUCAAUCGGCCUGUGAUGAUAUCUUCGAUUGACGGGGACUGAAAGCCGAUGAUUGGAAAUGAAGUAUAUGGGUGGCGAUUCUCUAUCGGCCUGCCACUACAGUUGUGCGUUGGAGAGAGUUGGCUUUCAGACGACAAGAAAUGAGGGAAAUCAGUGGUAAUACUGUAAGAGUACGGUGUCAAAUCGGCCAGAAGGAUUGGUACCUCUGCAUUCGGAUCAAUGUUAGCGGGGUCCAGAUCAUUACAAUAUGUUGUAGGAGAUGUGCAGAAGAGGUGUUGUUUCCACUCACCCCACCAUAGCUUGAAUUGUUGGACAGCGAAGGGGGCCACAACCCAGUUGGCCAAUUCGAUGGUACUGGAAUCCGGCGUCAAGCUGCACAGCUGAUUGUAUUCAAGACCUUUAGAGAGCUCCUCCCGACACUUAACGCGGCCGGCAAAAUAAAUCUUAAUCGGCAUUUGUCUGAGGCCGAAUUGCCGCGCUGCCACUGAUGGGUUGUAGAAUUCAUAGGUUGGGGAGUCUUUUCCUGAGAAGAAGUUUGCUGGUAGGAUCCCAGGCUUGAUCAAAGUAUCCAUAAGCUCAUUAUCGAAGUAAUUGAUGGUUGAAUUGAAGCAGUCGGGGUUUUCAAAGAGUGGCUCAAUUCUCUGAUAUGGGUACCAGCUUGUAGUUUCUUCAUUGAAGCCGAUAUAGAAGCAUCUGAAAUACUCAGUUGUAUUUGUGGGGGUAAACUUGCUGCCAGGAGAAGCUGACGCUACCUCGCCAAGGAAGUGCAACGCCGUCUUAAUGUUGGGUUAUCCUCUGAUUCAAUAUUGGGGAAUGUCUUGGUCUCAACUCGUUCCCUGGAGAUCUUGCUCAUGUAUAAGUUGAGCCAGAUGGUGAUAAACCACCAGGGGCCACCAGAGUUCCCAAUCGGCUCUCCGGAUGACAGCUUGACUGCGAUUUGGUGCAUCAUAUGAUGAGCCAAUCCUAGCAGGUGUUUUCCUAAGGGGAUAGUAGAACCUUUUGCUAGGGCCUCGACCAGAGCCUGUGUAUUGGAGGAGGGGCCAACUGCUUUGCCACAGAAGAAGUGCUUCUCUAACCACAUCAUCAGGAAAGCUGUGUAUUCUCUAUCGCCGAUAGGACCGGUCUUCAUAUUUUUAUCAAUAUAGCAUUUCCACCUGCCGAUUCCCUUUGUUUCCAGGCGAUGGGUUGGUUUGAUCAGGAAAUUGAAGGGCAAGUCGGGGGAAGAGAUGUCAAGACCGGUCAGCAUCAGGACGUCGGCCAAAGUAGGGGUCAUGGGCCCAUGUCCAAAAAGGAAAACAUUGAGAGCGUCAGACCAGAAAUAAGAAGCUGCCAUGACCAAAGGUUCAUUCUUCUCCAUUUGAGACAGAUAUAAGUUUAUGCAUUGGCCGAUUUUUAGUUCAUCCCAAAGAACCCUCUAAGAAUUGGACAUCCUUUGAAACCACUCUUUCCAGCCAAGGGUUUCGUUCGGCCAAGAUCUAAAUGCACCUGUCCACUGGCUUAAAUCCAUUGGUGACUGCUUGAAAGGGAUCAUGUGGGUUUCCAGGUUGAUCAAUUCAGUGGGAUCUAGAUUCCCCAUGGGGCUAAGACCGACGAGGCCGGGUGCGUCAGAAACAGGGAUGGUGAUUUGCUGCCUAAGUUCCUAAAAAGGAUACAAAAGGAGAACUAAGAACAGAUCUAAAAGAUGCGUGAAUGGUGAAAAGUAAAAGUAAAAACUUUGGGAUAUUUACCUCUGGAAUGAAAGCCAUAGUCGCCUAUGGAGCCGCUAUUGGAGUAAACAGAAUAGGAUGGACGGAAGAUGAAGGAGGAAUCACCGUAGGAAUGCAGUUGGAAGAUGAAAGGGUGCCGAAAUGCGAUGGAAGAUGAUUCGCCGGGGAAAAAAGAGUUUCCCAGCUUGUGGAGAAGAAGCGGCGGAGAAUGCAAAUAUUUAAAGAUGGUUCGAGAGAAGGGUAAAGGUGGGAUUUUACCGCGCUGUCUGCACAAAUUUCGGGAAGAGCGGUUGCCUGCGAGCGCCUAGCUCGAAAAUUGUGAUCAUCAGAGAGAAGACCGCAGAACAGAAAGGAGCUUUCGCCGUGCCCGCCUCGGAGGAUGAGUUAGAGUUGAAAAAAAUUUGAAGCAAAAAGUUUCACUCUGAAACUUGGGGGCAUGUGUUGACGCCGGAUUUUGACACGUACUUGAAAUCGGCGUCAAAGAAGGAGAAAGGGGGGCCGAUGCGGCGGACUAGAAGCUACAGUUGGGAAUCGGCCGAUUGAAGCUACAGUGUUUCAGCCGAUUGGUGGAAGAAAUCGGUGGAGGCUGGCCGAUUGAGAGCCAAAGCAGUUUGGCCGGUUUGGGCCUAAGGUGGACCAGGAUGAAGAUUUGCUGAAGAGACAGGCCCGUGGGAAAAUAAUAACCAACUCGAAUAUGAGUCGUGUUUGUAACUAUUUGUUGUCGUUUGAAAUUAGAGAUAGAUUCUAGUCGGUUAUGAAAUCAGUUGCAACAGGCAAUAAUAGCUGCCUCGAGAGGCUUGUAAAAAAAUAACACACAAUCAAUAAAACAAAUUUACUCUUUCCUCGUACUUUACUUUCAAGUCGGCGACUUCGCCAAAACCUUUUUCUUUCACGAGUUCGUACGGAUUGGCAGGGCUGCAUCUACAUGAUCUCCGACCGAUUCUGUAAGUUCCGCUUAUCGAGUAAUAUCUAAGCUUUAACUUCGGGCGCAUCGCUGUUGUUUCAUUUAGAUUUAUUCACUAGUUAUCGAUAUCAACUACAGUCAUAGGUUUUACCUGUUAUUUUAGUUUUUAUCACCAAUUAUCCAGCUUGAGGUACGAGCUAUCGGCUUCUAUUAUUUUUAUCCUUUAUCAUCACAUAGCUGAUUAGAUCUACUCCAAGUGUUGCUUUUGUAGUGUUGUUUAGGUUGCUCUAGAAGUUUUCCUUACGAUUGCUACGUGAGUAUCGGCUGUCUUAUAGCCGGUCAUCUCUAUAGUAAAUCGGCCGAUUCGCUAAUACGCUCUUCAAGACAGAUCGGAACUCUAGCCGAUCGAAACCCCUAAAAUUUAAUAUUCUUCUUUCCUUUGUCAAUCAACAGGUCAGAUUGACUGGCACGCCGCGCGAACCGCACCAGGGCAAUAACCUGAACAGGAGCUAAGCAGAUUCUCCCGGGUCGUGUGUCCGACGCUGAGGGUCAUCGGCCAAUUUUCAGGGCCAACAACAGCUUUUGGGCAAAAGCAUAUAGGACUUUUAGGGGGUGUUUGGCAUGGCUCUAGAGCUGAACUCCGGUAACUCCAGCCAAUUUUCCAGCCAAACACCCUAGCUCCAAAACUCCAUGGAGCUGCAGUGCAAAUGGGAUGGAGUUUUGGCGCACCUCUUUUGUAGCUCCAAAACCACCUAAUAUGAACCUCCUCGUGGAGUUGGUGGGUAAUUAACCAUCAAUGCCACUGAUUAAAAUAAAAAUGAUUCACUUCUAUUUUCUCUCGAGACCCCUCCCCGCGCCGCCCGAGGCCUCCUGAUGCCGCUCUCCUGCGCCGCCGCCUAGCGCCGCCGACAGCUGCUGUCGCCGUCCGUGCCCCGCGUCCUGCGGGCUACCGCCUCGCCAUCCCCAUGAGCCCCCUGCACCGCCGUCAGAGCCGCCAGCCGAGCCGCUGCGGCCGGGUUUCCGCCGUCUUGCCGCCUCUUUCCUCAACUGGAGUGAGCCAUCAGCAGCAGCAGAUUCCCCUCGGCGAGCCACGCCCGUUUCGCCGGUUCCGUUGUCACCCUGCUGCCGGAGUGCCGCCGCCACCGUGAAAACCGCCCGCCCCCCGAUCUCCACCACCACGCUGACCACCUCCGUCCAUGCCCUCCGCCGGUGAGCACACCCGUAGAUUCCCCUCGACCCCCUCUUCCUCUUGCGCCACCUGCCCAAAACACCACCUCGCCGGAGCGCCAGCAAGCUAGCUGGCCAGAGCCCCGGUGAGAGGAGGAAGAAGGAACCUGGCUCUUUUGUGAUUGGGUCCUUGAGGAAAGCUAAAAUCUUUUGCUCUGUUCCUUGCUCCCGGCGAGAGGAGGAAGAAUAGUGGGCUUCUGUGGUGGAGGGCGAGAUCGAACCAGGAGUCAGAAUGUCAAUCUACCCUCAAACUCCUCUUUUCUGGAGUUGGGAACACCCUCCCAACCAAACACCUUCAUCAGACAGCAGGUUGAAAAGAGGCACAUGAGGCUCAGCCGCUUAGGCCCACGGGCAAAAAAAAAAAACUCUUACUUUAUGGCGGAGUAGUUGCUGUUCCAGUGUGCAGGUAAAUUGUCGCAAAUGCCCUCUUGUGGUCGCGUUGCAGUAGCCGAUAAGGCGUCCAAACGUGAGGUGCACACACCUGAUCUGAUCCUCUCAGUGGAAACGGGCCAGGUCCAUGCAACCCAGGACAGGAAGGCUCUAUACCUGGGCCGAACGGUAGCCCAAGAGGCCGACAGUAAGUGAGCUCACGGGUGACGAACGGCCCAGAAGCCGCCCCAAUCCGGCCACCGCCACUGAGCCGGCUCGACUAAACCGGAUCGCCACGCAGCCCGACCGCGCAGGCGUACUUCCCGAACUACCCCCGGAGAUUAUCCAAUCGGACGGCCAAGCGCCACGCACUGCCAAAGAAUUCCCCGAAAUGACCCUACUCUUCCCUUUGCCUCCCUCGCGUGCCGCCGGUUCUGCUCGACCGGACCAGCGGUUCAGGCGCCGAAUAUUCGCCCGCGGAUAUUUCUUGCCCGGUGCGUCAACUCCGCCGCUAUAAAUACCCUCAUAGGGCGGCCGCUAGGGUUUUAGUGCUUCUCUCCCGGCGGCGCCUCCACAUAUCGUCUCUCAGAUCGGGAGGCGAAACCAAGGUGACUGACCUCAUCCCCUUUCUCCUCCCUCCGUCUCUGGUUGCUAUAGCUAUUUCAUCCAUGCGCUGUCCUUAUAGCUGAUUAGUAUUUUUACUAGUGGAGUUCGAGUCGUUUUGGUUCCAUUCAGUAGUGCUUGUGUUGAUUGGAUUGAAUCGGAGGACUCGAAGUGGUUUGUGCUGCUCGAAUCGUAAGUUUGUUGGGCUAAUCUCGAUGGAAUUUAUGUCAAUUCGUUGGUUUAGUGGUCCUUGGCAGUUCUCUCUGUGAUAGGCCCGUCCGAUCUGUAGAGAUGCGGUGGAAUCCUGGUUUACUCAAAACGGUUCUAGAUUCCUCUGUUCUUCCCUUAUUUUUUGUUUCGAUUACUUAGUUUGCACGUUAGGGGCCUAUGAAGUUUAUGUGCUCGGAUCCUUUAGUGAAACUGAUCUGUUUACUCAGAUGUGCUCGGAUCCUUCAGUGAAACUGAUCUGUUUACUCAGAUCUGCUGGUAGCUAACAGGUUCAGGGUAGUUAUGUUGAUGGUCUAGUUUUGGUAGUUUCAUUGUCGAUUUCUGUCCAUUUUUGUCAUGUUCUGUCCAUAAAAAUACUAUCUGUGCUUCUUCAUAUCUUGUAAUAUGAAUUCAUUUGACAAACUAUGCAUUUCUUUUAGAGUGUUUGUCUAAAUUAAUCUUCUGGUAUAUCCCUAUGCCAGUCUGUUAAUAUGUCUGUAUUAUAGUGUUUUGUUUGAGGUGGUAAUGUACAUGGUGCACCCUGCAGUUUUUCAUGUCUAAUAUUGAAUCUCCUUGUUUGCUGUAUGUAUUAAGGAUUAGUUUCACUUCAAAUAGCUUACUGCUGAUGCUUUCUUGUUUGUUUAAUAUGCUGUGUAAUCAUGUUGACCCUGAGGUUUGUAAGAAUUCCUCUUAUUUGAUUAUUGCAUGGAUUAGUGUCCUGAAGGAUAUGGCUCCUUUGUACAAUUAAGAUAAUUCACUUUUUUUUCUCAACUUUUAUAUGCUUACUAGCCCAUUAGGUUGUGUAAACAUUAGAGUGCUUUAGCCUGGUAAAGAUGAGUUAAGCAUUUUAAAUAAAUUUUUGGAUUUGGUUGAUAUCAUCCUUAACACCUGCAUUUAAACAAUUUGUCUCUUUUGAUCCUGACUAUUACAGUGGGUGUUACUUUCUUUAGUCAUUCUGUGGUAUCAAAGUUUCUGGUGUAGUUGUGUAAUUAUGGUUUUGGUUGGAUUCUUACUAGUAUUUUCUACCUUUAAACAGCAGGAAAUUAUAUACAUAUUUGUAGUGUGAUCUUCAUAAGAAGUCAAGAUGGUGAAGUUCACAGCGGAAGAGCUCCGUGCCAUCAUGGACAAAAAGAACAACAUUCGUAAUAUGUCCGUUAUUGCUCAUGUGGACCACGGUAUGUUAAGAACAGUGUUUAAUUAAAUGUUAUGCAUACCUGUUCCUCGACAUUUUUCAGGCUUUUCAAUUUUAGCAAUUGUUUUUUUUCAGUAUUAAAUCUCUGAAUUGUUCUUGCCAGUGAAUGCGAUUCAUGCUGCGUUAGCUAUCACAGACCUAUUUUACAUAUGUAGAAAUAUUCAUUUCAUGUUGGAAAUAGGCUUAUUGUUCUUUUGUAAUUAAUGUAUUGGUUUAUCUCUAGAUAUUGCAGUGUAUAGUAUCUGUUUACUAUGUGUUUUAUAUUGGGAUGUAUUGUUGUCUUUGUUAACUUGUGAGAGGUUGUCUAUCCCUAAUGUUGUACUAUUCUUGAUGCAUCUUCGGACUGACUUUUAAGUUCCACACUAUAGUCUUACAUCUCAUUAAUUCUUUGCAGGCAAGUCUACCCUUACAGAUUCCCUUGUGGCAGCUGCUGGGAUUAUUGCCCAGGAAGUUGCUGGUGAUGUCCGCAUGACUGAUACACGUGCAGAUGAAGCAGAGCGUGGUAUUACAAUCAAAUCCACCGGUAUUUCUCUGUACUAUGAGAUGACUGAUGAGUCACUGAAGAGUUACAAGGGUGAGAGAGAUGGUAACCAGUACUUGAUCAACCUUAUCGACUCACCUGGGCACGUUGAUUUUUCUUCGGAAGUCACAGCUGCCCUUCGUAUCACCGAUGGUGCUCUAGUGGUGGUUGACUGUAUUGAAGGUGUCUGUGUGCAAACUGAAACUGUGCUCCGCCAGGCUCUUGGUGAGAGGAUUAGGCCAGUGCUUACUGUGAACAAGAUGGACAGGUGUUUCCUUGAGCUUCAGGUUGAGGGUGAGGAAGCCUACCAGACUUUCUCCCGUGUCAUUGAGAAUGCCAAUGUCAUUAUGGCAACAUAUGAAGAUAAGCUCCUUGGUGAUGUCCAAGUCUACCCGGAGAAGGGAACUGUUGCUUUCUCUGCUGGUCUGCACGGCUGGGCCUUUACCCUCACCAACUUUGCCAAGAUGUAUGCUUCGAAGUUUGGAGUUGAUGAAACUAAGAUGAUGGAGAGGCUCUGGGGUGAGAACUUCUUUGACCCAGCCACAAAGAAGUGGACCACCAAGAACACAGGCUCUGCUACCUGCAAGAGAGGAUUUGUUCAGUUCUGCUAUGAGCCAAUCAAGCAAAUCAUCAACACCUGCAUGAAUGACCAGAAGGAUAAGUUGUGGCCCAUGCUUCAAAAGCUUAAUGUUACCAUGAAGUCUGAUGAGAAGGAAUUGGUUGGCAAGGCUUUGAUGAAGCGUGUUAUGCAAACUUGGCUUCCAGCUAGUACUGCACUGCUUGAGAUGAUGAUAUUCCACCUUCCUUCCCCAUCAAAGGCACAAAAGUAUCGUGUGGAGAACUUGUACGAGGGACCCCUUGAUGAUAUCUAUGCUACUGCUAUCAGGAACUGUGAUCCGGAGGGUCCUCUUAUGCUGUAUGUUUCUAAGAUGAUUCCAGCAUCUGACAAGGGCAGGUUCUUCGCCUUUGGUCGUGUCUUCUCUGGGAAGGUUGCUACUGGUAUGAAGGUUAGGAUCAUGGGUCCCAACUAUGUCCCUGGCCAGAAGAAGGAUCUGUACGUCAAGAGUGUCCAGCGUACUGUUAUCUGGAUGGGAAAGAAACAAGAGUCUGUUGAGGAUGUUCCUUGUGGUAACACUGUUGCUAUGGUUGGUCUGGAUCAGUUCAUCACGAAGAAUGCUACACUCACCAAUGAGAAGGAGGUUGAUGCAUGCCCAAUCAGAGCAAUGAAGUUCUCUGUCUCCCCUGUUGUGCGCGUUGCUGUUCAGUGCAAGGUUGCCUCUGACCUACCCAAGCUCGUUGAAGGUUUGAAGCGUCUGGCAAAGUCUGAUCCUAUGGUCCUCUGUACAAUUGAAGAAUCUGGUGAGCAUAUUAUUGCUGGAGCUGGUGAGCUUCACCUUGAGAUUUGCCUGAAGGAUCUGCAGGAAGACUUCAUGGGUGGUGCUGAAAUUAUUGUUUCUCCUCCUGUUGUCUCUUUCCGUGAAACUGUUCUUGAGAAAUCCUGCCGAACAGUCAUGAGCAAGUCCCCCAACAAGCACAACCGUCUUUACAUGGAAGCCCGUCCCUUGGAAGAGGGUCUCCCUGAGGCUAUUGAUGAGGGCCGCAUUGGUCCACGUGAUGAUCCCAAGGUUCGCUCCAAGAUCCUCUCUGAGGAGUUUGGUUGGGACAAGGAUCUUGCCAAGAAGAUUUGGUGCUUUGGACCUGAGACCACUGGCCCGAACAUGGUUGUUGAUAUGUGUAAGGGAGUGCAGUACCUCAAUGAAAUCAAGGAUUCUGUUGUGGCUGGCUUCCAGUGGGCCUCAAAGGAGGGUGCACUGGCUGAGGAGAACAUGCGUGGCAUCUGCUUUGAGGUCUGU